UGGAUUUGGGUGAUGGGCGCUGGGCUUGGACGACUAGGCCCAAGAGAAAAAUAAUUAAAGAAAAAAUUGGUUAGAUUGGAUGCUUCCGUGUAAUUUUUAGAAAAAAGGAGUGUCGGAGCAAACUAGGCUUAAAAAAUUAAUCUCAUAAAUUUAUAGAUAAAUUGUACAAUUAGUUUUUUUCAUUUAUUUAUAUUUAAUGCUUUAUGCAUGUGUUGUAAGAUUCGUUGUAAAAUUUUUGGAACUAAACAAGGCCUAAGGCUUGGUUCAGUUCGCGAAUUUUUUGAAUUUCGCCACUGUAGCACUUUCGUUUGUUUGUGGCAAAUAUUGUCCAAUCAAAGACUAACAAUGGUCAAAAGAUUCGUCUCACGAUUUACAGGCAAACUAUAUAAUUAGUUUUUGUUUUCGUCUAUAUUUAAUGCUUCAUGCAUGUGCCGCAAGAUUUGAUGUGACGGAGAAUCUAAAAAAUUUUUGGAAACUAAACGAGGCCUAAAUAGUUCAUAUCGUGUACGUACGCAUAAGCAGUGCACGGCGCCACGGCCACUGAACCUGCAUACGGAGUAUAUAGUAGCAAGAGCUCAGCAGCUUGCCACAGCCCACAGGCACUGGCACAACAGCUUAACAAGCCGGAUAGGGUAGCCCUUUUGCAGACAGCCAUCGGCCAUCCGCUCACCCCGUCUUUUGCCUGUGCGAGCUAGAAAUGGAGAGCGCCGCCAACGCCAAGCCUCACUUCGUGCUCCUCCCAUGGACAGGAACCAUCAGCCACGUGAUCCCCAUGGCAGACCUGGGCUGCCUCCUCGCGUCCCACGGAGCCGAGGUCACCAUCAUCACCACGCCCGUCAACGCAGCCAUAGCACAGAGCCGUGUCGACCGCGCCCCGGCGCCACGGUCACCCGGUGCCGCCGCGAUCACGGUCACCGCGGCCCCGUUCCCCGGCCGCGGACGCCGGCCUGCCCGAGGGCUGCGAGAGGAUGGACCUGCUCCGGUCUCAGGACGAGGUGCCUGUCCGCGGACGCUCUGCACCGAGUACCUGUACAAGCACUGAAGCACAGGCUGCACGAGGCUGUCGCGUCGGCCGACGAGCUGUUCGACGCCCCAGUCCCAGCGCUGCUCGCCUUUCCAGCUCAGGCUGUCGCGUAGGCAGCUCCCGCCGCAUUUCAUGCUCAUGCCGGCCACUAAUUCCGUCGGUGGAAAGGCGCUGCAGGGGAUCCGGGAUUUUGACGUGGCCGCGGACGGCAUCGUGGUCUGGUUCGAGUCUCGACCGUCAGUCCAUGUCGAGUGACGCAAGGCGAUGCAUGGCGUGGCUGGGCGCCAAGGAGCCCAAGUCCGUGGUGUACGUGAGCUUCGGCAGCGCAUGUGCCGCCCGCUCAGCUCAUGCAGCUUGGCAUGGCGCUUGUCUCGUGCCCCUCGCCGCCUGUGCUCUGGCUCAUCAAGGGCGCCGACUCCCUGCCCGACGACGUCAAGGACUGGCUGCGCGAGAACACCGACGCGGACGGCGUCGCAGGCAGCAGGUGCCUGGUGGUGCGCGGGUGCCGGGUGGGCGCCCCAGGUGGCCAUCCUGGCUCAUCCAGCUAUUGGCGGCUUCAGGACGCACUGCCACUCUCGAGGCCGUUGCAGCUGGUGUGCCCAUGGCGACCUGGCCCUUUUCCGCCGAGCAGUUUAUCAAUGAAACAGAAGGCGAAAGAUGCUUUGGAGAAAGGGAGGAUCAUCCUACCGUAAUUUGGAGAAUUCGAUCCAGUCUUUUUCUUUGAAGGUCAACAUAUCUCACUGAUGGAGUGAUGAGUCCCAGCAUACGUGUCUGUUUCCUUCGGAUAUUUAUUUAUUGUCUAUUAUUACUUGCGUCGUUUGUUUUUGUCAAAUAAAAUUAUUGUAUUCUUAAAUCAAUCGGUGCUCCUGCAAAACAUAACCGUGUGUGUGGUGAUUAGGAAAAAAGAAAUUUAUCGAGCAUCUAUGGAAAAUAGCUAUGUAUCUUUUUUUUAAGAGCUAUAAUUUAUUGAUUAAUGUUUUAUAUGCGUUAUUUUACGAUGAUUAUAAUAAAAUAGUAAUUAAAUGGAGACAAGUAUAUUAAGAUUUAAAAUUGAAUAAAAAUAGAGAGAAGUGUCUUAAGAUAACCUGGAGAGUUUUUUUUUUAAGAAAAUCUAAAAACCAAAAAAAAAAGUGGCCAUGCAGGAGACAAGUAUAUUAAGAUGAGCUGGAGAGUUAAUUAAAAAAGACAUGUAUCUUAAGAUGACUAUUUGUUAGAAAAUCUUAAAAAAUGUUAAGAAAUGAAGAGUAAUAAAAAUAAAUUUUGGCCCAUGCAGGUCUCGAACCUGCGACCUUCGCGUUAUUAGCACGACGCUCUAACCAACUGAGCUAAUAGGCCAAUUUGAGGUCUUAGAAAGUAUUUGAUUAUUUAAUAUAUAAAUCUCCACAGACCCCUGCCAUGCCGACACCAGAUACACAUAGACAUUCACCGUUCUCAUUCGAACACAAUUUGCAUCUCGGGAACCGGAAGGUGAACAUAAACCGCGCACAAAACAAAGGUUGAAGCGGCAAAGUGCAAAGAGAGCGAGGUCCAGGUCCCGGCGAACUCUGCUUAUUGAGUACACGGCUGCUUGUUUUCUGACACGCCCGGCCCUCGAUCUCAUUAUCAACACAUAUAUACAUCCAGAGCAGAGACGCCACACAUAAAGACCGAGACUUGAGCUAUACUAGCUGGACACAGGAUCACUUCGCCUUCCAUUCCAUUCAUUCGCGCAGCACCGUACCACCAGCCAUCCUCUUCGUCUAGGACAUCUUGGCGUGCUGCGCGCGCUGCCUCUCGACGUACUCGAAGAGGCUGCCGUCGUACACGCGCCGCAUGGCCUCCCGCGACACGUACCCCUCGUCGUCCCGCGCCAGCACGUACAGGAUCGUCCACUCCAGCUUCGCCGCGACCCUGCGACAGAGAGGGGACAGAGGAGCUCGCAUAGUAAGCCAGGAGGCAGCCUGACUGGAGGAGGGAGAUGGGAGGUUGAUUGGGUGGGUCAGUGCUAGCUCACCAGCCGAAGAGAUCGAAGGCGUCGCGGAAGCCCUCGGUCAUGGACCACAGCUCCCUGUAGGUGAGCCUGUCCGGGGACGUGCGGGCGUACUUGCUGAACAUGUUCUCGAAGUUCACCGGCAUGAACCUGAACCAGAGGACGAAUUGAGCCUGCAUUUGGAACUCUAGAUUGCGCUAGCUAGGACAGGGAGAGACAUCAUCGGCAGAUCACUCGCUACCUGCCCUCGUCGUCAUAGGUCCCAGAGUCACUGCCAUGCUUGCUCUUGUGGAUGUUGUGGACGUAGAUCGGGAACAGAGGGGACGGCAGCCAGCCCUACAACCACAAAUACAGUACAGAGACGUUAAAACGUUAACAUUUUCUUGUCCCCAACACAGUACAUGCAUUUUACGGCCCCUGCUAAAACCAUCGAUAGAUUGCCUCAACCAGAGACAUGGGUUGGAGCUGUACUCACGGGCAGUGUGGCAUAGCUCAUGGCCCCGUUCACGACAACAGCGAUGAAGAACGACAUGAUCAUGUUGAACCCAAGCGCACGGCAUCCUGCAUUGUUUGCAGCGUCUCUCGUAUCAGUUUUGCAGGAGCCAGCAGUAUGUAGCAUGCUACUGGAACUAGAGCAGCCGGCCGGAGGAGGAAGAUUGAUGCGGCGAUAUGAUAUAAUUUCGCGUGCAUACCGGAGUAAGUCUCCCAAGGGUAGAUGAUGCCGUUGUCGUCGCGGUCGAAGAAGGCGACGUGCUGCUGCAGCACGCUCAUGUGGUGGUGCAUGUGCUCGUCGUCCGCGGUGCCGUCGGGGUGGUAGAUGUCCGGCGCCGCCAGAGCUCGCGCCAGAUCUGCUCAUCAGCGGACGCGUACAUAAUUAACGUCAGUGGCAAAUCGUGCGUGCGUGCGCGCGCUGAUACUACUAGGAAAAGUGCGCGCACUCACAUGGCUUGGGGAGGUGCUCCUCGAGGUCGCCGCGGACGGGGCGCAUGGCGGUCACCGGCGCCUGCAGUGCGACGAUGGUCUGGGAGUCCUUCGCCUCCACGGCCGACAUGCCGUGAUGAUGCAUAUUGGCCCCGCCAGCCUUGUUGCCGGUGGCGUCGCCCUUCCCUACGUCCACAGCCCUGGCGGCGUCGCUCUUCGCCACGUCGGUGCCGACCUUGGCGCCGGUGGCGGCGUCGCCCUUCCCCUCCGUCGUCUUCGCCGCGCCGCGGUCACCGUUGCGCGCCUGCUUGGCCGUCGUUGCCCCCUGCAUCUCUGCUCCGCUACCGCCGCGCAGCCUUCGAUCGAGUCUGUUGCCUGGUGGCUAGCCUAACAGGAUUGGAGAGAUCGAGCUGAGAGAGAUCUGUGCAGUUCGUCAAAUUGAAGUGAGAAAUCAAAGGCUACCUGAGCUAGUUUCUGGUGUGUAGGCCGCUGCGGAGGACGAAUAUAUAAAGCGGCUCGGCGGUCGCGCGGGACGUGGCGCGGCAGCAGACGCGACGUGGUCGCGUGCAUGGCGGUCGUCCCUGCUAGGCCGUAACGUGUCGCGGUUCGCAGCAGGGUGUCCACAACUCCUGAUGCUUGUGUUUGGUGGGUGCCGUGAGGCACGACGUCGGAGACACUAGUGACACUCGGGAGUACUAGCUAGCCUCCUCAUCAUCGGGCUGAAGCGGGUGGUUGUCUCUCUCUAGUUAGUACUCCGUCCAAUUAUAGUUGUUGUUGUAAGAUUUAAAAUACAUCGCUCCGUAACGUUCUAGACCUUGUUUACUUCCACCUCAAAAUCCAAAAAUCUUUAAGAUUCUCUGUUACAUCGAAACUUUAGACACAUAUAUAGAGUAUUAAAUAUGGACGAAAAUAAAAACUAAUUACACAGUUUAGUCAAAAUUUACAGAACGAAUCUUUUAAGCCUAGUUAGUUAGUUGAACAAUAAUUACCAUAAACAAACGAAAAUACUACAGCAUUGUAAAAUUUUUCCCAGUAAGAAUUAAACACGGCCUUAACCUUAGUUGUGAGUCUCAGCUUCUUGUUCAUUUUGUUUAAGGAAAAAAUGCCGAAGCAUGGAAUGGAAAGUGGCAAGCCAAAGCGUGUUGGCUGUACUGCUGUAGUAGUUUUUAGGUUUGUUUAGUUCGUGAAAAGUAAAUUAAAAGUAAAUUUUUAGAUGUCACGUCAUAUACAUCAAUACAUAUAUAGAUUAAUUAAAAAAUAAAUUAUAUAACUCGCUUAAAAAACUACGAGACAAAUUUAUUAAGUCUAAUUAAUACUCAAUCCAUCCCAAAUUAUAAGUCGUUUGACUUUUUUAAUAUCAAGUUUGACCACUGGUCUUAUUCAAAUUUUUAUAUAAAAUAUUACUUUUUUUUGUUGUGUAUUGGUUUAUUAAUAAAAGUUCUUCAAGAAUGACUUAAAUUUGACUAUAUUUGCACAAAUUUUUUUGAAUAAGACGAGUGGUCAAACUUGAGGUAAAAAAAGUCAAACGACUUACAAUUUGGUAUGGAGGGAGUAUGUUAUUAGCAUAUGGUAGUUACUACAAUAAUUAUGACAAAUUAUGAACUAAUUAAGCUUAGAAGAUUUAUCUCGCGAUUUCAUAACCAAUUUAUAGAAUUAUUUUUUCAUCUACAUUUAAUGCUACAUGCAUAUAUCGAAAGAUUCGAUGAAAUAGGUAAAAAAAAAUUUAGGUAUGAACUAAAUAAGGCCUUAAUGCAAAAGCGUUUUUGUGUGAAUGCUUUCUUUCUUAGUCUGUCAGCAUGUCCUCUUAAUGCAUAAGGUGCUCCCGUAUUUUUUACCUCCUGCCUUAGUUCUGGCCUCAAACCUACAGCGAUUAAUUGAUAGGUUUAGAAAGAUUGCCAAGGGAGAAGACCAGCCCGACAACGGUAGUGACGGGCGUAGGGCGGCAGCAGUGUCGAUGAUGAACAAGAACAAUUAACUCCAUUUGAGAAAGAGACGUUGGAUAGUUUUAUUGGGACCACAACAGUCUACUCGAGAUACCACUCCUCGUUUAUUUCGCGAAAAAUUUCGGUUUUAACUAUACUAUUUUUGUUUUUAUUUGAUAAUUAUUAUCUAAUUACGAACUAAAUAGACUUAAAAGAUUCGUCUUGUAAAUUCCAAACAAAAUAUACAAUUAAUUUUUAUUUUCGUAUAUAAUUAAUGCUUGUGACGCAAGAUUGAAUAUGACGAAAAAUUUUGGAAUUUUUUUGGUUUUUAAGGAGGAACUAAACAAUACCUUAUUUUGUUUCCCUUCACUUUCUUUGACGAGAUCUGUCUUCUUUGACCUGCAGGCUACAGCCCCGGCGUUUUCUUUAUCCAUCCAUGCCCUCUCGUAGUCUUGUCUCUCCGCGUCGUAGUCCGCUAAUCCAUUGUUGUCGUACGUCGCGCUCGCCUCAUCUAUGUCACGAUCCGAUCCGUGUUUGUUUGCUUGCGUUUGUUGUUGGCGAAACCAAGAGGGUGCCGGCGUAGAAAAUGCAGCCGCUGCCCCGUAUGUUCCCUCCCUAUUUGCAUCCAUUCGCUCGUCCCUUGAAUCGGUGAAUACAAGGAAAAAAGCUGCGUCUUUCUCGAUCAAUCCUUUUGCUGGCUGUGCAAAGGUCAGAUUCUCUUAACAGAUUUUGCCCGUGAAGUUUCAGCUUAUACAGUCUUUUGUCCACGAUCAUUUUGUGUCUGUCUGUUUCCUUUCUUUUUUGUGCAUACGAUCUAAAGACCCCUUGUCUCUCUCUGUUUUUUUUUCAUCUCACCCCGUUCUCAUAUAUGCACAAGCACAAUUCGAGCUCAGAUUGCUGUGUUCAUUGAUGCAUGGUAGUCAUAGCCUUCUCAUAUAUGCAGUCCUCGCAAAUUAGCCGAUCUUUUUUGCCUUUUUUUUUUAAUAUGGUACCAAUAGUUAUAGUUAUUGGUUAUCGUAGUCAUCUACUAUAUAUCAUAAAUUUUGCUUGAUGGAUUUAUAACAGCCAGUAAUCGAAAGCUUUCUUCACAAAAUUCCUAUGAAAGAAUCAAAUGUUUCUUCCCCUGUAACUCGAAGUUCUGAACAUGUGAAUUGCUCUUGCGUUACAGGUCAGGUCCUCGUAUCUCAUCUCAUGAUAUGAAUUUGCAGUCUUGCCUGUUGUGACUGGAGCGCCUUGUUCAGCAUCUAUGGCACCAUCUUCCAGUACUCUCUCCACGGUUACUACGCAUGGACGUUUUCCUUACUUGACACCACCAACCAUGCAUUCUUCCCUUUCUGGAAUCCUGCCCUCCGACAUGAUAUCCUCCUAUUCUGGACUACAAGAACAACCUUCAGGUGGUAGUUUCUCUGGACUAUCUCUUGAAGCAACCAAUUGUGCAGACCUACUUGGUGAUGGUGUGCAGAAUAACAUUGGCAUUUCCAAUGCUGAGAGUCAGCAAAUUCCUGGUUUUGUCAGAACCAUCGAUGAAUCUGACGAUAGAGAUGAAUGGUUAACAGAUUUGGAUGAUAUUAUUACCACUGAUAUAACUCCGAACUGUCAACAACUGGUAAUGUACCUCAAAAUCAGUAAUGCUAUAUGUUUUCCUUGAUCAUGGAAACUAAAGCUUGCAUUGGGAUUUGCUUGGUUAUAUGUGGCAGCAAACCAUAUAUUUCUAGAACCUCUUCAUGUUAUGUUCAUUUAGGAAUUGGGAUGCCUUAAUCCUUAAGUUGAUAUGUUUCUUUUUUCACAGGCUGAAUCUGCACCUGUUCCCUCAUAUCCAAAUUCUAAGUCAUGGCAACAUGAUGUGCACAUUGUACAUCAAUCAGUCUCAGUUCUUUCUGAACCUCAACAGUUGUAUCCAACUGUUUCUCCUGUGGUAACUACAAAUGCUCAUUGCCCCCAAAGGGCCAAGGCACGCAUGCGAUGGACUAUGGAAAUGCAUGAUCGCUUCGUAGAUGCUGUCAAUCUGCUUGGUGGCAGUGAAAGUAAAAUUUCAGCACUGUGAUCACUGUCAUCGUAUAAAGUACUAUUGGCUUUGUAUUGUAACUAUUAUUCUCUCAUUAUGUUUGAACAAAUGCAGGUGCUAAACCUAAAGCAAUUCUUGAUAUCAUGGAUGUUGAAGGUCUGACUCGUGAUCAGGUGAAAAGCCACUUGCAGGUACUUUCCUUUUUUUUUCCUUUUCCAGCAAAAUUUUUGGUGACACAGAUACUUCGGUUUUAUGGUUUGCUAAUUAAAGGUAACACUCCACACAGAAGUACAAAAUGGCUCAAGUUAAGCAUCACCCAUCUGAAGGUUAGCAAUGGUGCCUGCAAGUUGGAACCAUACUUCCACUUGUUUGAAUACACCCUUCAUUGUUUCCCCUCAUUGUUGGCACUGCCUAUUGGUUUUUUGUAUAUGGUGCAAAAUCCUUUUCUUUUCAAAGAAAAUACAUUUCUCGUAUUCAAGCCACUUAGUUCAUCAAAUUGUUGAUUGCAUUACAGUUACAGGUACAUCAGUGGAGACAACCGUGUGUAACGAAGUAAUACCUUCAGAUGUACAGAAGUGAGUCAUUAUUUGUAUUCCUAUUUCCAUGUGGAAACCUGUUUAGCUUUACUAUUUCUUGUGCAAGUAAGUUCAUAAACAUCAAUGACGCAAACUAAGUUUUUGCAAACUUUCAUUUGGUUGCUUCUACUCUUACCAGUGGAAUGACUGAACCCCACUGAUCGUUCUGUGGCUGGUGUUUUGAGCAGCUGGAUAGUCUCGUUCUUUCAGUAUGCAUAAACUUACAAAAAGGCUAUAUGUCAACCGGUUGAAUCCUGUGUUUGGGUCAACCGAAUUUUGGGCCGUUGGAUCUGCCGCGUGGCUUCAGAUUAGCCUUUGGUUUGUUGUGUGUCUGUCUUUGUGGGUCCAGGUUGUCGGCGCCUAUGUUGAAUUUUUUGGGACUCGCGCCCGAUAGUGGCCGCUCCGUUUUCCCGUUCUCACUUUCAUUUCUAUCCGUCUCGUCUCUCUCCUGUCCUCUCGUCUUCCUCGUUGGCGACGCGACGGGCGAUUUCUAGGGUUUCGCAGGUUCGUCCUUGUUUCUCCCAUCUUGGUUAGUUUUGCUUGGAAGGUGUUAGUUGGUAGGGUUGUGUGGAUGGUUAUUGUUCUUUCGCUUGUGGAUUUUUGUAAGUUUUUGUGUCUGAAUCUCACUUUUUAUGGUGAUGGAUGCGAUGUUCCGUUGUAGUCCUUUUUGUGUGUGCGCGGGCCUGAUUCGGUGGAGUUUCCUUUUAUUUUUGCGAUUAAUUUCAGACAUCGCUAUGUGGUGGAUCGGUGUAGAUCCCUGCUUAAUUUGAGUGUGGGUGUGGCUAUUGUCUGGGGAACUUUCAAAUCCAUAGGAAUGGCGAUGUAGGGGUUGGGUUCAUGGUUCUGUUGUUGAUUUCUGGUUUGAUAGUGUUUGAUAUAGAUAUGGUUUUAGCUAUUAGGUUUUGGGGAUUUUAUUCUGCGGUUUGGUUUUUGUUGGGUUCGCAGCAUGCAGAUUGGGAGCAGCAGGCAUGAGUUGUCUGGUUGUUUCAUAUGAUUGGGGAUUCGAUGCCCCCUUGCUUCUUUAUCUGAAGUGGUUUUGGUUCACUGGUUCAGCCGUUCAGGUCAAAAACAAGAUGAGGAGGAGUACAGAGUACUUCAUUAUCAUGGGGGCAUGCGUUGCAUUGCCUUGGUCAUUGCUUGUUGACUGAGAGCUAACUACCUGCUUGGAUCUUGUUUGCUUAGUGGUUUAUUGUUCAUUAGAUUAGGUUAAUGGAAUUUGUUAGUUGACUGAUUAAUGUUUUUUAGGGUUUGGAUUAAUUCAGGUUAGGCUUAUUGAGGUUAGUCAUGUUUGCCCUUUUUAGAUUGACUGUAAUAGGCACAGUUCUUUUCAAGUAUGGUUUUUAGUAAUUAUAUUGAGUAAUUAUUGUUUUAAGUUUAUUUUGAGAAGGUUAUUACUUAAGAUGUAGGUGAUGCAUUGAAUUGGUUAGUUUUCUUAUUUGUAGUGUGAUCCUGUUUAGUUAUGUUUUUGAUUAAUGCUUUAGUUUUUAUAUAUAAUUUGUUCUUAUUGUUUUUUGGGUUCAAUUUAUGUUUUUAUUUGCUUUGAAGAUGGUUCGGAAAAGGGUGGUUCGAGAACUUGAUUCAUCCAGUUCGGGAGGUUCUGAAACUGAUUCUUCAGAGGAUGUGCAGUGUUCUCAAUUGCCUUAUAUGGAUUAUGAUUCCUGUGAAUAUCUUUCAAAUUCUCAGCUUGUUGGAGAAGUGAGUUAUUUUAAUCUUUGUUUCUUUUAUUUAUUUUGUUUAUGAUUAUUUUAUUAUUAUAUGUUUUAAUGUUUUUAUUCAUUAUUCAUUGUUUUUUCAGGAUGAUUCCUCUAGUGACAAUUCAAGUUUGGACCAUCAUUUGUAUGAGAAAUGUAUAAAAGAUGUAAGUUGAUUUAUAUAUGUAUUUAAUUAUUUGAGUUUGUUAUUUAGAUUUAUUAUAUAUGUUGUUCUAUUGGGUUGCAAUGUAGUAUCAGUAUUGGACAAUUGUAGUAAAUCUCCCUAAAUGUUAUGAUUAUAUUUUGAAUCAAAUCUGUAUUAGUCUAUAUUUAUUUUUUUUAAAAAAAAAUUAGUUGCAGAAAAUGAAGAAUAUGAAGAGAAAGCUUGAGAUGGCAAUGAAGCAUAAGGUUAUUUUCUUAGUUAUUAAUAGUGUUGUUAUUCACUAUUUUGAAUUAGGUAUUUUGCUUACUUUUUUUUUGUUUGUUAUAGUCUAAAAAGAAGAAAGUUGUGAAGAAGAGUAAUGAUGGUUUCACCAGAUUUUCUCCGACUGCAUUCAUGAAUGUGAUAUCUUCUCUUUCCCCUGAAAAGAAGGCUGUUAUUGAUGGCUAUGGUUUUGGUUCUUUGUUGAUGUUCAAUAAGUGUUUUGUGCCUAAUAAGUUUGCUACCUGGGUUGCACGUUUAGUUGAUUCCAAGUCUGGUGAUAUUAUUCGCAAUGGAAAGGUUAUUUCACUAUCUGAGGAGUCUGUUCAUUUCGUUCUUGAUCUUCCUUUGGGUACCAGAGCAUUUCCAUCUGAUUCAAGUAUUGGCAAGGAUAUUGUUUUAUCCAAGUUUGGAAAGGAUAGGAUCCCUCCUGUGUCCUUUUUUGCUGAUAAGUUGAUCAGUAAUGAACAAUUAUCUAAUGAAGACAUGUUGAUAUGUUUCUUGGUAGUUGCUUUGAGUAGUUUUUUAUGCCCAAAUACCAAUAUUGUUCCUAGCCCCAAGUAUUUUGGUGUUUUCGAAGAUAUUGAUCACAUCAAGGAUUUCAAGUGGUGUGCUUUUGUGUUGGAAUGGUUGCUGGAUCAUAUAAAGGCAUUCAAUAGGGGAAAGAGUGAUAAGCUGAAACGUUGUCAGGGUCUUGGUGGUUGCUUAUACUACCUUGUGGUAAGCUGAAAUGUUGUCAGGUUAUUUUUUUGGUAUGUAUCAUUUGGUUUUGUUAUUUAUUUUUAUUUUGUUCAAUUUUUUAUCUUGUCAGGUUGUUUAUUUGGAUCACAUUGACUUUCGUCAACGUCAAGUUGCAGACUUUAUUCCUCGAAUCUCUGUAUGGAAGCAAGAUAUGAUUCAGUUUUAUUGUAGUCUUGAUCUUAAAUCUCCUGGUGUUUAUGGUUACAGACCAUUGCUUGAAUUUGAGAAAACUUGCUACUACAAGGUUAUUUAAGUUCUACUUUGGGUUUUUUGUUUUAUUUGUUUGUUUCGUUUAGUUGAUUUUUGAUUUAUAUUUUUAAAUAAUUUUUCUUCAGGCUGUUCGUCUUAAUUCAGUUGGUUGUGCUGAUGAUCUUGACUCUGAGUUUUGCGCCAAGAUGGAAAGUGUUUCUGGCUGUAAACUUCCUUUUAGUUUGAAGUUAAAAAUAUCAAAGCUGAUUGAUGAGCAUUGCUUUAAUUGUGGUUUAUCUGUGAACAUGGAUAUCAAUUCUCUUGGAAAUGUUUCAAAAGAAUUUCAAGAUAUGUUUGCAAAGAUGUUCCGUCAUAUUUGUAAAACUGAUGUUAGAACAAAGGAUCUUGUUCUUGAGAUUAUGAAGGCUAUUGCUGAAACUGAUCCUUCUGUUGAUGAUGGUGCUGGUUCUUAUGCUGCUGCGGUGCCUCCCAAUGUUGCUGAUUCUAUUUCUGAUGGUGCUCCAGAAGAACCUAAUGUUGUUGCUCCUAAGGUUUGUUUUUUUAGUAUUUUUUCCAUUAUUUUGUUUCUUAUUAAUUAUUUAUUUACUUUAUUAUUUGUCUCAGGUACCUGUGAAUGCUUUUGUUCCAUCUUCAUCAAGAUCAACUCAAAAGAAUGUUGGGUUCUCUGGUACUGAUAAUGUAUGUAAUUACCUUUUUCCUGUGAUUACAAAAUAUUUAUGAAUCUACACUUAUUUUUUUCAAAUCUAUUUUUUUUCAGGUUAUCGAUGUUGAGUUGGAUGAGACUAUGCGUAACCUACGAAAGAGUAAGUUUUUCUGUUGUUGUUUUAUGUAGUUUGUUAACAUCCCAUAAAAUGGUUUCUUUAUUUAUGUCUGAAGUAUUUGCAUGAAUAUUUAAAGCAAUGUUGCUGUUUCAUAUGUUGUUGUCAGGUUAUUUUGUUUUGUAUUUAGUUUUGUAUGUAGAAGGCAUUCAUUUAGUAUAGAUUUGAAUUGUUUUUGUAGUUUUUGUACAUGUUGUUAUUGUUUUUUUUAUCUUUUUUGUAGGUAGCUCAGAUGUUCUAAGUCAAAAGUUCAAGUCUAAGCCUGGUGUUACGAAUGUUGCUGUUGACAACCCAUUGUGUGAUAUUACUAAUGUUCGUUCUCGUUUUGGUUCUCGUGGCAAAUCUUCUGAUUUAGAUAAAGAUGUGAUUUAUCUUGACAAUGAUAAUGUUAUUGUACCUGAUUCUGUUUCUCCAAGUCCUUUUCGUCAUCGUUCUAGACUUGCAUAUUCUAAGGUAAUUUUUUAUAAUCUCCUAUUGAUUUUUAGCCUUUUUUAGGAUCGUGACAUUUUAUUUACAGGUUUCUCAAGGUAUUUUGCAUGGAUCUCAGAAUACCAAAGAUGAGGUUAGUUUGUGAUUUGAUUCAUAUAUUUUUAUUGAAUCAUUUUGUUGUACCUUGUGAUUAUUUUUCAAUUUCAUAUUUUUGUUUUUUUGUAGGAUGUUGUGUUGAUGCAGACUAUACCUUUUACUGUUGAUGGAUCUCCUCAUAUUACUCCAAUUCUACCUAGGAAGUCUAAUGUUUUACAUAGUAGUAAUGGUUCUGAUAAGAGGGCUCGUAUUUCUGAUCAUAAUGUUAGUUUUGUUAUUUGUUUAUUUUUGGUUUCUUGUAUAUUUUUAUUUUUUUGUUUUAUUGGUUCUUAACAUGUGUUUGAUGUUUAAUUUUUAGGAUUCUUCCCCAGUUAUUUGUAUUGGUUCUAGAUCGUUUGCUGAAACUGUUAAAGUUGACACUAAGAAAUCAGAUGAUUUAUACAACUUGAAGUUUGGGAAAUUGAGAAUGACUUCACAGACUUCUUCUAUUUCCCUUGGCAAUACUCAUGGAUUUCCUGCUGAUUCUUCUAUUGAUCCUGAAAGCUUGGCGAAUCGUUCUGAUUUCAAGGUCAGGAACUCGUCAACUGGUGGGAAGAUCCCUAUUCAUGGUCCUAGAAGGAUGGUUCGUCCAAGUCGAGUUCUUAUAGAUGAUUAUGAUGUAACUGGAGAUAAGUUCAAAGUUUCAAAAUCAGAAAUUGCAAACUAUGAGGCUAUUUGUCGUUUGGCCCAAUCACGUUCUAGCAAGUAAUCUUCUUUUUCUUUGUGACCUUUUAUCUUGUGCUUUGAUAAUUUUUGUAUCUAUAUCAUUUAGGUGAGUAGUGCUUUUUUUCUGUUUUAUGUAGUCUUGAUGCUUUGUACUUUGGAGGUGUUCGUUGUACGUAUUGGUCUCUUGGUGAAUCAAUGAAGCCAGGUGGUAAAGUCAACAAUUUUGUUGUUGCUGCAUUUUGCUAUCAUCUUUUUUGCCGACCUGAUGGGCAUCCAGAUAUUUCGAAGCGGCAUUACUUCUUUUCAAAUAUCUCAGUAAGUUUUUUUUGUUACUUCAAAUAUUUUUUGUUUUCAUAUGUUCUUAUUAUAUUUUUUUCUAAGGAAAAUCUCCUGAAAGAUCAUGAUGAAGUUGCCGGUGAUGUGAUGAUGAGAGCAUUUGAUCGUUCUUCAAAGGCGAGGCCACUUUUUCAAUCAAAUAUGGUAUGUUAAUCUUACUAACCUAUUCUAAUUAUCAAUCAUUCUUUUUUUGUUGUCAAUUUUACAUUUUGAUUUUUAAAUGUGUCAUUGUUUCCGCAGUUGUAUUUCCCUACAUUUUAUGAAGAUCAUUGGUUUGUAUUUGUUGUUGACAUCAAGGAUAAGAAAUUUGUGUUUCUGGACUCAUACUAUUCAGAAGUUCACGCUUAUCAGCAAUAUGUUAGGGCGAAGAUGGUAAUAUUUUUUGUCUUUGGCUUUGUUUAUUCUUUUAUUUCUUAAGUUUUGUUCAAUAUAUUUUGUUACUUUGCUCCAGAUCCCAGAGUUUCAAUUUUGGUGGAACAAGUUUGUUAAGCGUGAAAUGAACUUUGAACAGUAUGGUGUUCUAUACCCAAGUGUGCCUAAGCAAUCUGCAGAAAAUAAGUAUGUUUCUUUUUCCUAUUACUUUUGAUUUGUUUGAUUUUUUUCUUAUUUUUAUUUUAUAUUAGAUAAUUGAAUUGUUUUUUCUAAAUUUAUUAUGCAGUGUUGAUUCAGGAAUUUAUGCUAUGAUGUUCCUCGAGCAUUGGACUUCUCCAAGGUCAAGUCUAUUUUCCCUGUUCAGCAGUGAUGACAUUGUAAACAUAAGGAUCAAAUUAGCAAAUGAGAUGUUGUUCAAUCCAAGAAAUACCGGAAACAAGACCCCUGUGAUUAGUUUUGACUUGAAUGAGGUAUUCUACUGGCUCUGUACUUUUAUUUUUCCCAUUUUCUUACUCUUAAUUUAUUAUAUUUUUUAUUUGUUUUUUUACAGGAAGGUGGUUCAGAGUAGCUAUUGGGCCAUUUUUUUUGUUUUAGUCUCAUCAAACUUUGUUCGUAGUUUGUAUAGGAAUUCAUAUUCUGUCUCGACAUUCGAUAUGCCAAUGAUGUAUGUCGCGAAGUAGUACUUUUGGAAGUGCCUUACAAUAUGCUUGUGCUGUGUUGCACAUCAUAGUAAUUGUUACAUAUGAUAAGUCUAAUACUAUAAUACAUAUUGCUGAUAUUGUUCGUGUCUUCUUUUUCUUCUUUAUAUUGUGAUGGUCUUCACUUCCUUGCUUUCUCCUUUUGGGUUUUGAUCGCCUCUAUAUCAUUGUUGGUCUUUGUUGACUUCUUGAAUCUCUUGGAGUUUGGCUUCACUGGUGAUCCUGUUAGGUUAAAAGUUAGUAUACAACAAUGGUAAUUUAAAUUGAAAGUGAGCACAUUUAAAUAUGUUAACAGGUAAUAUGGCAACUUAGUAAAAUAGAAAUUGAAAAGUAGCAUGAAAAUGCAGAUCUAGUAGCUGACCUGAUAAUUUGAUUAUGAAUGUUUUUGUUUUAUGCAUUUUGUGUCUUAUAUAUUUAAAUUGCAAUAUGUUAGCAAUGAUAUGGAGUUGCUGUUAUAUAUGGUACCAGAAUUUUCAUUUGUUGUUUGUUUCUUCUUCUUCUUGUUUUCUUUUUUCUUUGCCUUUUCUUUUGCUUCUUCUAUAACUGCUUUCAUUCUCUUUGGUUUCUCUGGCCUGCCCUUGUUUUGUAUUCUUUCUGGGUCCUCUAACUGGUUCUGUGUAUAAUUGUCUUCAUAUGCUUUGAGUCCUUGUGUUUGUACUUGUUCAUCUGCUAUAGGUUCACUUUGUGUUUCUCCAAUGCUUUUUGGUGCUAAUAACUUGUCCAGGUGCAAGUUGAUCCUCUCCAUUUCUGCUACAAGGUAAUCUGUUGCUUCUUCUGUCUUAGCUGCCUUUGAAUUCAUUGCUGCUGAUUUCCUCGAUAGUACAUUGAAUCUAAGCAAUGAAUUUGUUGCAAUUGUUGUUUCCUCUACUCUUUUCCUGAUCAAUCUCAUGUCCUUUUUUCUCCAUCUAUCUAUUAUAUACUUAUCUGGUAUUGCACUAAUUUCCUUCUCUAUCAUGAUUUUCAGGAUAUGGGAGCAUAGGAUUCCGUCUUUGCUGAAUUUGGCACAUAUGCAACUGAAGUCUUCAUUCCCUUGUGUGAGGUUAGUUAGUACUAUGUACCUCCUAAUUCGUUGUGCCUUGUACACUUGGUUACUUCUUUGCCAGACUUCGAAUUGCUUCCCUUCUUCGAUUUCCUUGUAAGUUAGAGUUGAAGUAGCUUGUAGUUGAAUUUGAAACUUCUUGUAAAUAUUCCUGUUAUAUAACUCUUGUGCUUGUUUCUCAAAUGUGUACCCAUACAAUAGUUCCUUUGGUCUUUUUUGGUUGCUAUAGUGGUCCUCUAGGUUCUCUGCUCUCUCAAUGCUGUCCACUAUGCGAUCAUACUCUGCCACAAAGCUGUUAAUACUAUAGGUUGGUCCAACAUUCUGUUUGAAUCUAGCAUUUGUUGCUUCACUUCUUGAGGUGCUUUGGAUGAAAGGGAAGAAAUCAUUUUUGUAGUACACAGGUAUGAAUCUUUUUCUUGUUUCCCACAUUUUUGUCAAGUACUUGUUGUUCUCUAAGCCUCUUUCCCUGAUCAUCUCUCUCCACAAGUUCUCAAACUCUUCUUCUGUGACAGAGUUGUUCACUAUGUCUUCAAAUUCCUCAUAUAGGCCAUCAUUAGCUGCAAAAACUUUAAUGUUCUUCGAGUAGCAUUUGGUCUUGAUGUGGAAAAGGCAAUUUCUGUGCCUUGUGUUUGGCAUCACUUCUUCUAUUGCUGUCUUCAUAGCUUUGUCUUGGUCAGUUAUUAUAGUUUGUGGGUGUUUGCCUCCCAUGGAUUCUAGGAAUGUCUCAAACAGCCAUUUGAAAGUUGCUAUUGUUUCAUCUUUUAGGAAAGCACAUCCAAAUAUACAUGUCUGUGCAUGUCCUGUAAUUCCUACAAAAGGUGCAAAUGGCAGUCGGUAUCUGUUUGUCAUAUAUGUUGUGUCGAAGCUCACACAAUCUCCAAAGUCUGCAUAAUAUUUUAGUGAUGAUCCAUCUCUCCAAAAAAUAUUUUUCAUUCUAUUUUCAUCAUCUAGCUCAAAUUUGUAGAAGAAUGUUGGAUCUUCACUCUUCUUUUUUCUGAAGUUGUCUAGCACUUUGGUCAUAUCUGUUCCUUUAAUUUCUCUAUUAAUCUUUGUUCUGAAGUUGCUGAUAUCCUUUUUCUUCACUGGUAAUGCUGUGGGUCCUCCUCUGAGGUAUGAUAUUAUAGAGAUCAUCUGUCUUGUUGCAAUGUUAUUGUCAUUCAGAGUCCUUAUAAGUGACUUCUCCAUAUCAGUCAUAUAUUUAUGACCACUAAACUGUUGGUUGCUCUGUCCAGGGUAGAGUUCAUGAUUGUGAUCCAAAUCUAAUCUAAUGAUCUUCCAUAUGUUAGCGUCUUCUUUAAUGACCAUAACACAUUGGCAGUCUGUUUUCUCUGCUAUAUUUGUCUUCCUUUUCUUACCUUUCAUUUUUCCUAUAUCUUUGUCCACUUCACCUUCCUGCUCCUCUGUAGUUUUCUUCUUUGGUGCUUUACCAUAUCUAUGACACUUUAUUGUGAGUUUGGUGAUCUCAUUGUUUCUUUUCUUGCUUGUAGUUCUUGCAACAUGUGCUACUACUGUUUGAAACCCAGCUAGCCAUGCAUAGAAGUUGAAGAAGUGUUGAGCUUGUUCUUUGUUCUCAAAUUGCAUUCCUAGCUGUGGUGUAUACUUGCUAUUGAUUUCUGAGUUGUUCCCUUCUGAAGCUGCUAUCUGUUCUCUCAUUAUAAAUUCAUCUAUCUCUUGUUCUGUUAGUAGCUGGCUACUGUUGCCUUCUGUAGUGUCUACUUCUUCAGGUGGUUCAUGUUGUGUAUUUGAUGAUUCUGCCAUUGUUUUUGUUAGGUCUGAUGCUGCACUUGACAAAUCUUGUUGCUCAACCUCUUCAGCUUCUUGGAUCCAUUGUAGUUGCAUGUUACUGAAUAGUCCAUUCUGCCAUUGACUUUCUUCAAUCUUAGUUGAGUAGUUUUCAUCCCUGUUGCUAAUGUCAUUGUCCUGCAUAUAUUAUUAUAAGAAGUCACUGUUUUUGGUUUUCUUUCUCAUGCUAUAUUUUUAUAUGUACUAUGAGUUGAUGUAUGAAUAUUCUUACCUGAUGCUCUGAAAAUGAGUAGUUGACAUCAUUGUUGUCUCCAGGAUUGCUGUUUAUAUUCUCCAUGGUCAUCUGCAAAAUUGAUUUAUAUGUCAAUCAAGGUAAGUUUCUUUUUUGUUUUUUGUAGUGAGUGUAAUAUUUAUGUUUUAUGGUACCUCUUGUCCUUGUGGUGCAUUAGAUAUUUCAUAUUCUUCUCCUGUACAAAAAUUUGAAACUGGUUUGUGUAGAUCCAAAUUUCCCUGCAUUAAUUAGCAUAUAUGAUUAUGGAUGAGUUACUAUUUUUAAUAUAGUUUUUGAAUUUUGUAUAUGUACAAUUGUCAUAUAAUUUACCUGAUAGAUAUCUGGACCAAACAACAUUCUUGUAUAUGAUCCCUGCAAUUCCUGAGAAAACUGAAAUAUGAGGCAAAAAUAUUUAUAUUAGCAAUGCAAUGAAUUUACAAUAUUAAACAAGUUGUAAGUUAUUGAAUUUGGGACUGUAAUGAAAAUACUUCUUCUUGGGAGUUCCUGAUUUGCUCCAUUAGUAGACCUGUUAAGCUUUCCUGCUAAAAUUUAAAACAUAAUUAUAUUUUUUAUUUUCUAUUUUGUCAUGUUAUUAAUUUAUAUCUAUAUUAUGGCUAGGAAUAGAGUUUGGUCUUACCAUGUUUAUGCCUUGUAAAUGAUGGAUGUAUGGAUUGAAUUCUGUCAUUCUAGAUCUCUCAUCUUGUGUAAUAUUUGUCUCUUUUGAUGUUCCAUCUUGUGUCUGUAUUCAAUAAUUGAUCUGCUAUAUAAGCUGUUGGUAGCUUAUUUUUUUUGUUUUGAAUAUGUAAAUUUGGUACCUGGAAGUUGUACAUCUGGACAAUGUUGUCUUCACAUUCGUUGAUUGGAUGCCUUGAAGAUGAUUGUUCAAAUCCCAUCAUUGUAAGGUAUGCAAAUUGUUCCUGCAUUUAUUAUGUAUAAAUGAGUUUUAUACAGUAUUUCAUCCUUCUUUUUAGAAUUUUAAUGUUUGAGAAGUUACCUGCUCUUGGUUGUCUUGUAUUGAUGUUGCUUUAUGUUUGUCCUUGUUUCUAUCCCCCAUUUGAUUCUGCAAUCAACAUAUAUUUAAAAGAUGUUAGACAAUAUAGUAAUGUAGAUAAGUAAUUCUGAAAUUGUUAUUCACUUUUUGUUAAUUUUCUGGUAUCAUAAUGAUUUUAUUGAUGUUUCUAGGUUUGUUUUAGUUGAAAGAAGUGUUCUUCACAAGGGUUGCUAGGGAACUUCGUUUCAAUCUUUAUGUUGUUCUAUUACAGAUUGCUUACCUGUGCUUUGUCCCCAUCUUUUUGUAGGUGAAGCUGCGUGGAUUGAUCUGGAGGUUCCAUGCUUCUUCCUUCCUUUGAGUCCCGUAGUCAGAUCCUCCUUCAAUUGAGUCCUCUCGUUAGAUCUGCUUUUUGUGGUUGGUACCUCUCGAUAAGGUUGCUCUGUAGGGGCAGGUAAGUAUCAUUUUUUCAUUUUGCCCCUUCUCCUUUUUACAGAUGCUUUUUGACCUUCUUGGAGGGCAAGUUUGUUCUUUUUAUGUUUUGCCCCUUCUCUUUGUUUAUUGGGCUUUCUUUUGGGCUUUUGUCCAGUACAUGGCCUUUUAAGACCUUUUUGGCCUUUUUUUGUCAGUUACCUGUUGGUGGUUCUGCAUUUACUCCCUCCCUGACGUAUUAACUGGUCUCACCCUUCACCCUUCCAUCGGAUCUCACUCUCCAUUUGGUCUUCCUGAAUUUACUCCUAGGGUAUGGACCGUUUCCCUUUGCUGUUUUUGUGCACGACCAUUUGUAUGUGCGUUUUGAGUCCCAUUCCCUUCUUUAUAAAUUCUUUGCCUUCCUCUCAGAGUAUUCUUGUUGUCUUCUGUAGCCUUCUUCUUUGUUGUUCUCCAUCUUUUCUGGACCCUGCAAGUAAGUGUUUAGAUGAAAAGUAUUCUUUAGAUCUUACAUGUGUUUCUGAACUAGUUGACAUUUAAUCUUUUCGUUCUUGUUUUGUUCUUCUCUUUUUUUUAUUCUAUUCUCGGGGUUCCAUUUUAUUUUAUUUUCUUGUGGUUUCAUUUCUCUAUAAUUACUCGAUUGUUGAAGUAUUUUUUAUUCUUUUAUAUAUUUUUUUCUUUGAGAUCUGAAAUCAUUUAUUUUUCUAUUAUUUUGAUGCAGUUCUAUUUGCUCAAGGUUAAGUGUUGGUUAUCUAUUGUGGAAGGUAUGUUUUAAUUUGCUGUUUUCUAUGGUGUGAUGUCAUAAUUCAUAGUUUUGUGUGUUUUUUUUUUCAAUUGUGCUUAAUGGUCUAUUGUUUAGAUAACUGGGGUUACUGAUAUUGUUUUUUUAUUUAGAUGGCAACCACUGGUGUCUUUGAAAGCAAGGAAGUUUCUGAUUAUGUCAUAGAUGUUCUUGGUUUGACUCCUGGCAAACAGUCUCGUCUAAUAGCUGUUAAGUUUAACAAGGUUGUUGCUGAUCCUGUGUCUACUGUUGCNNNNNNNNNNNNNNNNNNNNNNNNNNNNNNNNNNNNNNNNNNNNNNNNNNNNNNNNNNNNNNNNNNNNNNNNNNNNNNNNNNNNNNNNNNNNNNNNNNNNNNNNNNNNNNNNNNNNNNNNNNNNNNNNNNNNNNNNNNNNNNNNNNNNNNNNNNNNNNNNNNNNNNNNNNAAAAAGCAGUGUCUCGGGCUUCGCGCAGACUACCUGGCACAGCAAUAUGUGUAAUGAUAAAGAUGGUCUUGUUUAUGUUCUAGUUCCCUUGGAACAUAUUCCUUUUCGUCUUCGCAAGUGGGUUAUUGGAGUUGGUGAUAUUGUUGUUUCAGUAUUUGAAGUUCAAAGUAUUUCAUACAGGAGUGGCUCUUGCAAAGCUUUUAUGGAUAUUCCAAUAAGGAUCAAGGUAUGCUUUUUUAUUAUUAUGUCUUUUGUUACCAUUUUUUGAUUGUUUUGUUGUUUUAAUUCCUAUAUUUAUUUUACAAAAUUUUUCUAGGUUGUUUCUGCAAAAAAUUCAAUUGUUCGUGAAGCUGCUGUACCAUUUACUUUAGUAGAUGAAGAAGUCUCUUUAUUUGUUGUGGAUAAUCUGGAUUUAGAUGUUGGAGAUCAAUCUCAGCUUAUUGCUGCUAAAGGUUUGUGCAGUGGUAACAUGCUUAAAUUAGUUGCUCGUGUGGUGAAGCAGAAUCGUGGUCGUGAGUUCCUUUCUGUGUAUAAGUUUGCCUAUGAUUCGAAGAAUGCCACGGUGUAUGUCAAGGUAACUGGAGAAGAGGAUGCAAAUUUGAUGGCUGGUAGAUCAUUUGAGGUUGCUGGUGAAAAGAUGUCUUUCUAUCGUGUUUUGAGUAUUAGUGUUCGUCCAGUAGAAGAAGACUUAUAUCAGAGUGAAGAUUGCCGCCAGAUUUUUCCUUUCUAAUAUUUUUGUCGAGUAGGAUGGCUUUUUAUGUUAUGAAGAACAAUAUGUUUGAAGUUAUGUAUGUGGAUCUUAUUUUUUUACUGUUGAGUUAUGUUUGUAAUAAUUUGAACAAGUUAUAAUGUUGAGUUAUGUUUGUACCAGGUCACCAUCUUUGCCCUAAAGUUCUUUUCAAAUGCUUUUGUUGAUAUUGUUUUUCAAGUUUUGAAAUCUGUUUUAGUAUUUGGUCCUCUCUGAUUUUUAAUGAUUAGAGAUCAAAUAAUGUUUCAACUAUAUACAAUUGGAUCAGGUUAUGCAAUUAAAUAAUUACUAUGUUUCUUUAUUUUAGUUUUUGGUCCUCUCUGAUUUUUAAUGAUUAGACAUCAAAUAAUGUUUCAACUACAUAAAAUUGGAUCAGGUUAUGCAAUUAAAUAUUUGGCAAAUGCUUGGUUUUACAUUGUCUUCUAACUAUGUUUACAGUUUUCUUCUUUGGUAUUUUACAUUGAAUAUUUCGGUGUAAAUGUUUGUACAUCUUAAUGUAAAUUUGUUAUUGUUUAUUUGUAAAUUUAUUUUAUGAUUUUUGUGUAGUAUGUUUUGUUUUGUUUUCUGACAUCACUAGCUGCUCAGUCUCAUUGAUCAGUUAAAACCAAUCAUGAAUGGAUUUGGAACUUUUGCUACUGUAAUUUUGGUUAAUUUUUGCUUCAUUCUCUGGUUGAUCAUAGUUCUAUAUUUUGCAGCUAUUUGCUCAUUAUAAGUAUUGCACAAGCCUCAUUUGGAGCUUCAACUUGUCUGUUCUUGUUCUUAACCGAGUUUAUGAAGGCUAUUCAUUCUCAUUGUUCGGGUUAGAUUCUUUAUGCUGCUGCUUCAUCUUCCCUUCAUUUCGAUGGCACAUAUGCUUAAAUUUUGGUAUGCUUCACCUUAUGUUGUCUUAUACUCUUAUUUGAUCGAAAUGAUCUAUGUAUUGUGUGCAUUUGUAUAUAGAAGUUUACUUUAGCUCUUCAAAUUAGUUUCUCUUCAGAUCUGGGAAGUCAUGAAAGAUUUGGUGUUGAUUUGAAAAGGACUAGUGUUUUCAGUUUUUUUCCUUAAUUAUGUAUUGUUGGUCAUCUCUGAUUUUUAAUGAUUAGACAUCAAAUAAUGUUAUGCAAUUAAAUAUUUGGCAAAUGCUUGGUUUUACAUUGUCUUCUAACUAUGUUUACAGUUUUCUUCUUUGGUAUUUACAGUGAAUAUUUCGGUGUAAAUGUUUGUACAUCUUAAUGUAAAUUUGUUAUUGUUUAUUUGUAAAUUUAUUUUAUGAUAUUUGUGUAGUAUGUUUAGUCACCAUCCUAAAGUUCUUUUUAAAUGCUUUUGUGAUAUUGUUUUUCAAGUUUUGAAAUAUAUUUGAGUAUUUGGUCCUCUGUGAUUUAUAAUGAAAAUAAUGUUUCAUCCAUAUACAAUUGGAUCAAGAUAUGUCAUGUAAGCUUAUGUCAACUAUAUUUUCAAGUGUAUUACUGUUCUAUAAUUUUUCAUUUACAGUGAAAAAUUUACUGUAAAUGUUGUGACAAUGUCAUGUAAAUUUGGUAUUGUUUGUUUGAAAUUUAUUUUUGUUAUUUGUGAAGUAUAUGGCAAUUAUUAUGUGUAUUUGGCUCCCAUAGAAAACAUUUGGGUUUUUGUAAAUUUUUUUUGUUAUUUGAUUGUAUCAUAUGAAAAAUCUUUUGGAUUUUGUUAAUUUUAUUUCUUUCUGAUUAUCUAUAUUUGAAGUAUGUAAUCAUAUGAUUUAUGUCUGUCCGUUAGAUGUGGAUCAGUUGAACUAAAAUUCGGUUGAUUUGAUGUCUUUAUUCAUUUGAUUAUGGGUGUGUUCAGAAUUCGGUUGAUUUGGCCUUAUUCAUCAACCGAAUGAUAGAAUAGACCAAAUCAACCGAAUGAGUGGUAGACAAAUCCUAAACUUAUGAAGUGUUCAAGAUGAAAACACUUAUUGUAAUGUUCUGUGACACGAUAUACUAUGGAUAUAUAGUUAGUUCCAUAAAUAAAGAAAAACAUGUAUAUGCAAUUGACUGCAUUUCAUUCUAAACUCCCAUGCCUUUUGAAGACUAAAUUGCUCGAAACUUUGCCUCUGUAUGACAAUUCAAGUUUUAUUCGGCAGACACAUCCAAGAAUAUGCAUUACAGGUGCAGGUAGAAUUUCAGAAGAAACUUCAUGAUAUGGUAGAGAGGACACUACUGGAGGUACACCGCUUACCUUGAGUUUGCUUUGAAUGUUAAUCUCCCGUUACAUUUUGGUAUACAUAAGGCUCUAUAACAAAGCGUGAUGUUUUUUACUCUGAAAACCAACAUGAUCUCAAAACCAACAUGAUCUCAUUCGCCAAUGCAUUUCUGUCCUUGCUGUGCCAUAGAUUCAUAGAAGCCUACUCGAGAACCAUGUGCUGAGUCUCCACGAGCUUGAACAGCGGCGGACGGAACGUCGCACGUUGCAUCCUCUUCCCGUCCCAGCCCCAGCAGCCUUCCAAUGGUCAGCUGCUGCUCUGUCGGCGGGGGGUUCCAGACGGGUGCGCGGCGAGCCAAGCAACACUGCGACGCCGGAUGAUGAGGGCGGUCUGGCCAAUCAGGGAACAGAGGCUGGCUCGCCUGGCAAUGAGGAAGGAGCAUGACUGCAUGACCCUCGUCUGCUGAUCGAGGCUUCAAUGCCUGUUUCUGGACGGUGUUCCCUUUUUUUUCGCGUGUAAAUUUACAGUAUGAUGAGUGAAAAUGGUGAGGACAAGAAACGGCAAAGCUUACGUGCCAUCAGUUGGUGCUUUGGUAGUAUAUCUCCAGAACACUGUGAUAAGAAUCUGUGUGUGAUGCUCUGUAGAAUCAUCUUUUCUACUAGUACUGGAAUUUCACUCCACAUGUAAACUACAGGCCACCUUGAAUAGCAAUGUAAAAAUAGGUCGUAGUUUCAACCUGUGGAAAGUAGGAUGCCAGUAGGGAAAGGCUAUCAAGAGAGGUCACUGAAAGUUGCAAUGAAGCCUAACUGGAUUGGUUUCACUCCUAUGCUACACGCACGCAGCACGCUACACUUUUCUGCUUCAAGCAGAGUAGCAGACGAUGACACGACAACUGCAUAACUUCCGUCUUCACUCUUCUGCUAUGAACUUGACAGCAACUUGGGACAACUAAAAAAGUGUUACAAUCCAAGAAUCUUUUCAAGUUGCAUCUCCUGUUAGCUUAUUCGAGCAAUCUAGCAAAGGAAACACAGGAUGCCUGUGAUCUAUAUGCAUAAGCGGCAAUUAAAACAGGCUGUGAAGUUGCAUCUCCUGUUCAUAUGACAAUGGUUUGGGGUUCAGUGCUUUUGUACUUGGAAGUUUUCUUUCAUCACCAAAUGGUAAAAAGUAAAAAAAAAAACAAUUUUGAAUGUUGUCUUAAACACAGUGCGGCCCUAAUAUAACAAGCCAGGCCAGUGCUAAAAUCAAGAUUAAAUGCUCUAGAACAAAAAAAACAGCAGCUAUCAAGUGUCACAUUGUAAUAACUGAAUGACUAAUGCCUCAUUUUUACUUCUUGGAAGUCUAGAUGGGGAUCAGCAGACCAUCUAUUAUAAACUACCACUACGAAUUAUUGCUACUUGAAUCUAGAUAACAGAGCCUAUGCGGAUUUCAUGGCGUGGUGAGGCCAAUCUCACUGUUUUUCGCCGGCUCGAUGCUGCUGCCACCAUGGUAUCUCUUCCAGGGCUUGUAGUCCUUCCUUUCCAGCAUCCGCUCCACUUCCUCGAACUGCAGGCCCUUGGUCUCCGGCACGGUGAGGAAGACGACGAUGAGAGCCAGGAAGGAGACACAGCAGAAGAGGAAGAAUGUGGCCGAUGUCCCGAGCGCCUUGGUCAGGGACAGGAACGUCUGCGUCACGAUGAGAUUGGAGACCCAGUUGGCGACGGCCGCGAUGCCGCCGCAGAUGCCCCUGAACCGCAGCGGGUAGAUCUCCGAGUUGACGAUCCACGGCACCGUGCCCAUGCCGGGCGAGUAGGAGACGAUGUACGCGCCCAGGCCGAUCAGCGCCAGCCACCCGAAGUUGUUCGGGCACCCCUCCGUGUAGAACUCACGGCGAUCCGCCCGGCACGCAUGCCGAGACGCGUCGUUCAGCACCAAGCACGCCCCCGGAAGAAGCUGCAACUCCGACGAGAUCGUAAGCGAUUCCGUUAAGAUGAACGUGCAGCAACAUUGCAGGCAAGAACAAGAAAUGGUGCACUUGCCUCGUCUCCCUGGUGAGCACAGAAGCCGCACGUGGACGCGGCCUUGAGGCAGUUCAUGCAGCUCCAGGGGACGUUUGGGUUGAACUCGGGACACGCCUGGGUCUGGUUCGCCAGCACUCGGGUCUCCACGUCGCUGACGGGUGGGGCGUGGUGCGCGGCGCCCAGGAACGUGCCGCCGAGCACGGCGAGCCACACGACGAUGCCGACCAGGCUGAUCAGCAUCAGGCGCCUCCGGCCUGCCCUGUCCACGAAGAACAUGCUGACAAUGGAGCCGAUGGCGUUCAGGCCCGAGGUGAUGAGGGACAGUGCCAUGGCUGUGUUGUUGGACGCAUAGCCGGCCAGCUGCACGAUCGUCGGGCUGUAGUACAUGACGGUAUUGAUGCCCACGAACUGCUGCGCGACCUGGACGAUGACGCCGGCCAAUAGCCCGCGGCGAACGACCUUGCUGCCCAGCGCCUUCCUCAGCUUGCCAAUCAGUCCCUGCUCGCCGAUGGAGCCCUCAAGGAGCACCUCUUCUUCAACAGACAGGCGCAUUGCGUCAAUCUCUUGCUCGACCUCAUUCGCAGGGUAAAUCUUCUGCAAGAUUGCUGCAGCUUCCUCUUUCCUGCCCUGUUCGUUUCACCAAGAAAAUACAAAUUGUCAGUAUGUUCCUUCCCUUUUGCAGCAUAAUCCUUUCCUCGUGUUGGAAUGCAACAAAGACUCACUACAUUAUGUAACUAUCUGUAAGGUACAGGCAAAAGGGUGGUAUUAGAAUCCUAAGUAAUUCUUGCAUACGAACUACUUUUUGUACAAAAAUAGUACUAUCAACCUUCCUGUAGAGCCAUCUUGGUGAUUCUGGAAGCAUCAGCAUCAGUACGAAUUGGACCAGGGCAGGAACCCCUGCAAUGCCAAGCAUCCACCGCCAGGUCCCCGGCACCUGACACAGGUAAUGGUUGUAACAUCAAUUAUUUCUUGCAGAACAAUGUUUUCUAAACUUGUAGAAGAUCACAAGAGUUGAUGUCUAGUUAAGUUAGUACCUUAGUGAACGCUAGAUUAAUGAGGUAUGCCAAGAACUGGCCACCAGUGAUGAGAAGCCCGUUGGUGCUCACUAGAGCACCUCUGAUUCUAGCAGGGGAGGCUUCAGAGAUGUACAGAGGAGCUGUCAUGGAUGCCAUCCCAACACCAAGACCAACAAAUACCCUCCCAACAAUGAUAACAUUAGGUGUUGGGGAAAAGGCCAUGAUUACGGCGCCUGCAAAGAACAAGGCAUCGGCAAUUAUGAUGGAAGGCCUCCUUCCAAAUUUGUCAUUCAUCCAACCACCAAAUGCAGCUCCAACUAUAGCUCCAGCAACAGCCAUACUGACUAUUGUCUCCUGUUAUUUGGAAUAAAUCGUGAGUCUGUGACAUCACAUGUCAGCGUAGCUAGAAUGUUUUUGUCUGAAGAAAAGGUCAGAUGAACUGAAGUUAAACUAGAUCCACAGUGCAUGAAAAGGGACAUAUUGACACAUACCCUUAAUACAGUGCUCUUUUCCACUGCAGCAAAAUCAUCUCUAAUGUAGAGAAGGGCUCCAGAUAUGACACCUGGCAAAUAAAAUGUUAACAGGGUAAUAAAUCAAACAGCUAAACUCCACUUCUGGAUUAAUAUCAUCAUGACAGUUGUAAAUAAAAAGGAAAAUUUCUGGAUCAUUUUCUUCAGAAUUUCAAGGUGGUGGAUAAAAGUUAAAAGCAGUUCCUCUUGAUUUCUUCAAUAAUGCCAAGAAAGAAAUAUUGACAAAUUGGUGAUUUAUAGUUUAAACUUGAAACUAGAAUAUUUUAUCCAUCAUUGAGUAUAUAUGCAUGUUGUUUGGCAGGUUUAUUGUAUUUAGACACAGUAACAACAUCUGAAUUGUGAGAAAAUAAAUCACAGGAAUGGAUUGAAACAUCUAUAUACCAGCUAUGGUUACCAGUUAUUAUACCACAACUAAAUGUCUUUAUUUAUUGAGAAGUCCAACAUCAAUCUAACUUGUCAUGUUCAAGUACCUGUAUCAUAUCCGAAAAGAAGACCACCGAUGCCAGCAGACAGCACAAGCUGAAGGAUGUAAGGCUGUGUCCAGGACAGCCGCAGGCACUCCUUGAAUUCUGCCUUAUCUGCUACAGUCACACCGCCCUCCAUUGAUAUCCAACUUGGUGUAGGUACUCGGCCACACACUUCACUGUAUCGGUAAAACAGCCAAACAGGAAUUCACUGGAGUUGACACGAACAAACAGGCUUUAGUAAGUUGUGCUGGAAGUGCAGAUUACGACGGUUCAGUAAACCAAACAUCAGGACUCUUUUUAUGGACGUAUAAUAACAUGCGAAAUUCUGAGCAUCACGAUCAAUCAGAACAGGCUGAAACAGAAUCUGGAAACGGUGGCUGAAAAUCUCUAUCGAGAUGAAAAGAGGGAAUCUUAUAAAGAUGCUUUUACAUGUAAAGACAAAUGUAAUGUAGGCAUGUUACAUGUAGCCAAUAGCCAUAAUCCUAUCUUUUGGAUGCCAAAAGCAGCACCCUCUGCAUUGCAGAGAACUAGCAUCUUGUAGCCACAAACCAUAAUCGCGGAAAUAGUUCAGACUUCAGAGUGGCGUGAACUUACCCAACCGUGGCGAAAGGUAUAAACGAAAUCUAAGGCAAUAUAGAGGAUUCAGGGUUCAUGCAGACGGGUAAAAAAGGGAAAACAAAAAUCAGACGAAAUCUCGUAUAGCGAUACGAUCUUCUUCGAUCGCAAACCAACAGACCGAUUCUUAUGGAAAGGUAUGAUCUGCAGAGGGAACGCACACUGACCCCGGAACAACCACCCAUACCCGUACUUCCCGAGAAACCCCUCCACGCUUUUGAUGAGUUGAGAACGAGUAAAAGGAAACCCGCAGAAUCCCCGACCUCUCUCCGCACGGCGGACGAGGCGGAGGAUGCGAACGAGAACAGAAUGCGUGCAGCGGCGCAAGCCAGAGGCCUCACCGAGAGAGAGAGAGAGAGAGAGAGAGAGAGAGAGAGAGAGAGAGAGAGAGAGAGAGAGAGAGACGAAGGAAGAGGCCUCACCGAGGAGAGAGACGAAGGAAGCGAUCAAAACCCCUCCUCCGCCAGCGCCGCACAGCAGAGAGCCGAGAGACUCCCUCGGUCCCUCCCUGACCACGAGAGAACGAAGACAAGACGAGGACGAAGAGCCAAGUGGCAGCGUCGCCGCGGGCGUUCGAUUUAUUGCGGACGCCUCCUCGCACGCGGUGUUCAGUGCGGCCCCGGGGCGGGCGGGCGGGCGUGCGUGCGGUUGCGCCGCGCUCCGGCCCGUGCACCGCUAUGGGUGCCCCGCUGCUGCUGGACUGCGCCUGCACACGCGAUCCUUUUGACCCGCCCGGAUCUCUGCCCGUGCGGCGGGUCGGGCAGGCACUGGGCUGCUGCCGCCGCUGCCUACUGGCGCGGGAAGAGCACAUCCGCGUGGUCUUCGCACGCACUGCCGCGACGCGGGUGUUGAGUGAGUGGUGCGGGGAGCCGGGGAUCGCAGGUGUUGGAGCACGCAACAACUUCCCGGAUCGGCUGCCCAAAUUAGGAUACGGGAACGGGAGACCGAUCAGCCCAAGUGAGGAUUCAGGAAACCGACCUAGUACUAAAGAUAGUGUGGGACUUGUAGGUCAGCAUCAUCAGAAAAUGGAAACCGCAAAAGUUGCGAGACUAAUCCACACAUAUCCAAAAAAACUGGGCAGUAAAUGUCUGGCAUUUCGAAGUAAUCCUACGGGAAAUGUAUCAUCGCGUGUGUUCGCUAUACUACUUCUCAAGUAUUUCAGCGCAACGUAUUGUUGCGUUAGGAAUGGAAAAAAAAAACUAAUUACUUUCAUUAAAAAUCAAAAUAUUAAUGCACCAGCCGGGAAUCGAACUUUCAUUAAAAAUCAAAAUAUUAAUGCACCAGCCGGGAAUCGAACCCGGGUCUGUACCGUGGCAGGGUACUAUUCUACCACUAGACCACUGGUGCUGGUAUGAUUUUAAAGUAUUUCAGUGUAAUGCAUUGUUUGCAUUAGGAAUGGAAAAAGUAAUUACGUUCAUGAAAAAAUCAAAACAAUAAUGCACCAGCCGGGAAUCGAACCCGGGUCUGUACCGUGGCAGGGUACUAUUCUACCACUAGACCACUGGUGCUCGAAUGAUUUUUAAAAUUUUUACAUUCUUUUAUUACCACUGAGUGCGUAACAAAUGCUUAACAUUCCAAACGGCCAAGCUGAUGAGUGAACUAAUUUGUUAUAGUUGUCUGCCAUAUAAUGACACCAGGCCAACCUGAUGGGUAAAGUAAUUUUUCCGCCAUAUAUUAACGCCCGGAGUUAAGUAACAUGAAAUUUCAUCACAACCUAAUUAGCGUGGGGACGAAUCCAUGAUGCAAACACGUUUGUGUUUGUUACGUGGUGCAACAACGUAAAAUAAUACUUGCCUGUCUUAGGUAUUUUUCUGAUGAUAAUAAAAGGUAAAUUCACCGGACGUGGAGCACCCCCAAAACAUACAAAACCUUCGAGCAUUUAUAGAGGCCAUGCGGAAGAGCUUCACUUUCCCCUUUUCUCCAAAUAUAUGCAACGACAUAUAUGAUUCACAAGAUGCUGGUUAACCAUUUCAUGCCAAUUGGUGGAUCAUGUGACAACAAAAUUAGCAAAAAAAGCGCACAUACAAAAUGAUGCCCAAAAGCACUGAUCACAGCAACAAAUUAUUUUAUCUUGGACAAAAAAAAAAAAAAUUCGGCAGGGAAGCAUCCAGUACGAGAAAUUGCAGCGUCUCAGUCGCUACCACUACCAAGUAGAACUCCAACUUGUAGACAUGGCAAACUUCAAUUAAUCCCAAACUUGCAGACUGGGCACAGUUUCUUUCUUUUAAGCCACUCGUCAAUACACUGCAACGUGCAAACAGUUUGACAUCAGAAACACGACAAGCUUCAGCGGAAGUGACUGAAACAUAACAAAUAGGAGGGAUACCUCUUUAUGGAACUUGUGAAAGCAUGGCAGAUGGCGGAUAGUAUCUCCCACAGAAGGAUUUUCAAGGCAGACAGAACAUGGAUCUUCAAUGCUAUUGGACUGUCGGAAACAGGAAAUCAUGGGAAAGUAGUUAGGAUUUUUCAGUCAAGAAGGAUAGGCAAAAACUUAUACCAGUUUGGAAGAUACCUGAACUACUGACUGCGGCAAAUUAUUGAUCUGGCUUUCUGAAGCACCAGUGUGCUGGUGGUUAUUUUCAUCCAGUGCAAGCAGUGCGUCAUAGUCAUUUCUGCGACAAACCAACAAGUGCUCUUUUAGGACGUUUAAAUUUUCAGUCUUUUUUUAGAGAUGGGGGUGUUGAAGUGAGAAUUGCUGUAGCAUAAAUGCAGAUAAAAUAAACCACCCAGUACAAGAUUUUAAACAAAUGAAUAGGCGGAAGAUAAAAUCAUAACAAAAAGAUGACAUAUGCACACGAAGAAUGACAUAGAUGAUAGAUACAUAAAGCUUUCAUUUUAAGCAAUAUAAUGAAUUGAACAUGUAGACUGUUUUGAAUUCUCAAGUCAAUCAAGCAACUUGAAGUCCAGUGAAACUAUAAUAGAUGAAUAGUAGAAUGACCACUUACAAGUCAAUGUUUGGUUGAAUGUGCAAAGCACCAGAAUAUCUUGCUAAAGCAGCUCCCUAAAAGUAGCAAAAUAGAAGCUGUUAAUAAUCUUCUAUCUAAGGUAACAAAAAAAACUGCUAACUCAAUGACGACUAUCAUCACAACUGAGUACAGAGAGCAGCUGAGAACACCCCUGUGCUAAAGUUAGGAGUCCAAAGCAUAUACCAGAAAAGUACAAACAGAAGGCAAGGUAUGAUAGUGCUUGUCCAUAGACGAACAUAUAACUGAUCCAGUAUUUAACCAAUCAAAUUCCAAUGUACAUUAAUAAUGUAGUAAUAUGGCCUUUCAAAACAUAAUCUAGUAAUACAACUGGAAGCCUAAAAUAGCUGUAUAAUGUUGCAUAUGAUUUGAAUGCAUUGAAGCUGAAUAACAUGUUGGUUGGUCUAAAGAAACCCAGAAAAAGUUCUUUUACUGAGAUGCUAAUAUAUUGAUAUUCAAUUAUUCAUAGUAAAAAUAAAAAAGGGCAAGGGAGAAUAAAUACCAAUCCCAGUGUUCUUGGAGCAGUAUUCCGCAGACGGGAAAUCAUAUCGUCUGCUGUCGCCAAUCGAGCCCUAAGAGCAUUUCGAUAAGAACUCGAACGAGCAGCCCGGGCAUCUCUCUAAUAAAAAAAAAGAUUAAACAUGUCAAUUUCAAUAGAGACAACACAGCAAAGGAAUUUUGUCAUAAAGAAUACUUUUUCUGCAAGAUUUUGGUUAGCAUAUUUCUUGUUUUUAAUAUUAAAAAAAUAUUAACUUCAUAUUCAGAUCUUGUAUUGCAAGAAAAUCUAUAAGAGCUACUAGUCAGUAGCUCACACAUAUGCAAAACAUAAAAUGAGUUAAGUGCUCUCACAAUAUUGUUUUGGAACCUCCUUACAGGCCUAGAUGUCCGAUGUGCAUCUUCUUCAUGUUGAAGUGACAUUGCUACGAUUGCAUCAAUCUGUUUUAUGGAAAACUGAGAAUCUGACUGUUUUCUAAUCAUCAAGAUGUUGAAUGGAGUACUCAAGAGAGAGAUGAUGAGAAAUUACCUCUUCUGUUGGGGCAAAACGAGGAGAUUCAUUGUAAAGUUGCUCCUGGAGUUGGCGAGCCAAUAACUCAUCCGACUCCAAUUGUGCUUCUAUGUUAGGAUCAACAGAGGUUCCAUUAGUGAAUCCACUCGAACUAGGUCUAGCUUCAGGGGAUAUGUCAUCUAUGGUUAUUACAGGAAUAUUAUGCUGAUGACUGGUAUGAUUUCUGCCGGCUGAUAUUUUUGAUGAUUGAAGAGAACCUCUAGGUUCGUCAACAGCACUAGAGCUUUCACCAGUAUGACAAGAAGUUGAGGUUUCUUUUCUCCAUCCUUUAUGAUUCAUUAUUGUUUUAUUCCCCAACCUAUCAGGAACCAUCAUGGUUGCUCCACUAACUGAGGUAUGAUUGCCUCCAGCAGAUCCAUGGUUUUGAUUAGAUCGCGUGGAAGAUCCAGGUUCUCGUCUGGAACUAGUAGUUGUGUUACCCAUAAACGAAAUGGGUAAUUUACUUGUGUGGUUGUGUGUUGUUCUCCAACCUUGCUCUGUGUUUAUAUCAGAACUGUUUUUGUUUACACAAGUUCCAGCAGUACUAAGAUCAACCCUGCAACAGAGAGGUAGAAGUAAGACAUACCACAUUUUGCUGCUCCAACAGUAUAGUGACCAGAAAAAACAAAGUAGUCAUUUCAUAUGAAAUAUAAGGUAUCUUGCUAAACAAAGUCGAGUGGACAGAAAAAUGCCUUCUAAAGCAAUCAGUUGGGUUUCAACAUAAUCCAUGUCCAUCAAGCUAACUGUACUGUAAUUAUAUCAGUUCAUUCAACUACCAUUUCUUACAUAAGCCAUAUUGCCAUGUUUUAGCCUUUUACAAGAGAAGACCAUACUCAAAUGAACUCGUAUAGCAUGAAAUGAACUAGUUAUUCCAGUCAUAAAAGAGAUGAAGUAAGACAGCUUUUAUGAGAACAGAUAGAACAUACCCCCUCAAGUCAGCUUCUCCAAUCUGAUCACUAUCCAAGAUAUCAAUGCUAAUUCCUUUUCCUUUGUUGUUGUGGCCUGAUAAAUUAGCUUCAGAACAAUUGCUGCUGUUUGCAUGAUAUUUGGACAGUGGAACCGAAGUCCUGCCAGUUGUCUCUGUUCUCAGUUUUUUUGUGGCCCUUGUGUCCAUAUUGUGUCCAGGGAUAAAUUUAUUGUUCACUUUAGAUCUCUGCCUUGUCAUUAUUGGUGAAUUAUCAGUGAGGUCAAUCACACUGCUUCUGUCAAAUGCAUCAAGCUGAGGAUGUGGAUGGUGCAAAUGUUCACUUGAAGAGCACAUUUCCCGUUUUGCAUCCACUUUUACAUUUGUCUUGGCUAUGUUAGAGGGAGAAAUACAUCCAUUGUGGACCAGCCUUUUUUGGCCAACAUGCCUUCGAGGAACAACACACAGAGGGCUUGUAGGUCCUGUAAUGACCUUGUCAGUGAUCACUUCCCCUUUGACCUCUCCAGAACUUGAUCCUAGACAAACAUCAGCACCUGUUACACCUUUCGUAGUGCUAGUGCAUGUCCUGUUUCCUGGUUUUCCCACUGGGAUAGUAGGAAGACCUGAUCCUAUGCCAAGAAAGUUUGCAUUCUGAUGACCUGCAUCUUGCUGAACAACCUCUCCAUCUUUAACUUGGAAGGUAGGGUUCCUUCCUACCGUCACACUACAACUUAUGUUGUUCGAAAUGCUUCUGCUCUGAUCCAAGCCAUGUUUUUCAGCCCUCUUUUCAUUGUCAACAGAUAUCCCUGUCCUGUCAGAUUUCUUUAGGGAAAAUUUUGCAUUAUAAUCUUUUGACAGUUCCAGAACCUGUGCUGCUUUAGCUUGUUUGAAAAUAUGAUCAAUAUCUGAAGCUGCAGGCAAUACACUACAAGCAUUAUUCUGACUUGAUGAACCAUCCAGGGAAUUGUUCUUGAAUCUAAUUCUAAGUUUGCGCCGUGGUGAUGGAUUAGCAGCUGCCAUUGUAUAAUCCCUCCCAACAAUAGAGCUGGAAACAUGGUAUUUUGACUGAUGUUGGUCAGGAGUGUCAGGAACCUCAAGAAUCUCAUCAAAAUUGAUGUCAGACAUAUUCACUCUCGUUAUUUAAGUUGCAGAAACUUGCCCCUUCACCUGUGCAUGGAAACUUAAGAUUCAACAUUUUUUCCAAUGGUUACUUUACAAAACAAGCAUUAACACUAUAAUGAGAACAUUACCUAUAUAAACAAGAAAGUAAAACCAAUAAGCAAUAAGAACAUGCAAAAGCUUGAUUGGGAUUUGGGAAGCACGACCGUUACACAUCAAGAGAACUUAAAAACUGGCAUGGAUCUAACAAUGUGGACACGGGACUUUGAUGAUGAUAGCAUUGUAGUGACACCAGGGAUGGCGAGGCAGCUCAUGGCAAUAUAGUCAUGAAUAGAAUAACAGGUGAAAGCAGAGGAAAAAAGGAAGGUUGGGACUUGGAAGCAGGUAGACUAGGGGAUGGUGUGAUUAGGAGUAUGGGUGUAGGACAAGAUCGCAAGUUGGACUGGAUAAAGCUAGUCAGAUACCAAAAAACAACAGAAGCAGGACAUUCAACUGAACUAGGAGAGUGCUUUCUUUAAAAAUAAUGCUUUUCAGAAAAGUUAAUCCUAACCAAAUAGGAUUGAGGAAGACAAAAACAGUUAGCAUUGAGCAUAUUAAGCAUGUAGCAGCUUGCCUAAUUUUGAGGUGCAAUGUACUAUAUAGUUGCUACAAAUGCCUUAUGUACUUCACUUAAAACAAUUCAAAUUAACAUAACCUAUCUUUCAAGUGUUCCCAAAUCAGCCACCAUGUUGUACUGGUAACAUCAAGCAAUGCAAUUGAUUUACUCAGAACACAUUUCACACAUCCCAGAAUAAUAGGUAAAUACCUGCAUGGUGCUAUAACAUCAAAUUAUUAAUCUCAUCAACUCUUAAGCUGAGGUUUACUCUCAGUGACAACUCCAGGGAUGGCCAGAAGGCCCUAUUACCCCUACUGGUCUACAAUAACUUGCCCACCAGCAUAUCUGCGGCGUACAAAAGUACGAUUUGUCAUAUGUAAAAUUUGGCGGCUUUGCCUCACCUGCUUAUCCCCUCUAGAGAGAGCUCAACGAGACGGUGCUACCAGGCCUGUGCAGACCUGCCUUCAGCGCACUAGGGUUGAGAUUCGUCUACGCCACGAGUAGAAGGGCGCCGCGACAGAGUGGCGAAGAACAACGGCGGCCCCAUCGCCCCGUAUCGGAUGGAGAUGGGAAGGAGCGCAAAAGCCGCGGAGGAGGGCCGCGGCGUGGAGGUAGAGGAAACGCUCUGGCGGGGCGCGAAAUGCGGCCGCACAGCCCAAGACUCAUGGAAAUCACAGUCGGGAACCCAUCAGCGUGUCUAGAACCAGCGAAGAACCCUAGCACGCAGUAAUCUGACGACAUCGACGGAGAUUACCUUGAUUUCGUUUUUCCUCCGAAUCUGAUGGCGAAACGCCGCAGACGCGCACGAUCCCCAAAUCCUGCGAAUCUGGAGCGAUCCGGGGAGGGGGCCCGAAUCAGGAAGACGGCGGCCGCAAUAGCCGCCUGCUCCCAAUGUCCUUCCUCCCCGAUUUCUCUCUUCCCCCUUCCCUCUAUCUCUCUCUCUCUAUAUCUCUCUCUUCGGUGCUCAGUUUCAGUUUGAAAUCUACUAUUAUACCAUCGCCGCUCCUCUCUUUGCCUUUCCGCUGCCGCCUCCGCCCUCGGGGAUCAGGCAAAUGGGGGUGGGCUCCGUUUGGGAAUCGGUGGGCCUAUGGGUGAAUCCGGCUGUGACACACGACGGUUUCUGACGUCAGACUCAGACGUGACACGCCGCUAGGUCAAAGCACUCAGGCCUUGUUUAGUUCCCAAAAUUUUUCAAGAUUCUCCGUCACAUCGAAUCUUGCGGCACAUACAUGGAGCAUUAAAUAUACAUAAAAACAAAAAUUAUUUGCACAGUUCAUCUGUAAACCGCGAGAUGAAUCUUUUGAGCCUAGUUACUCUAUAAUUGUACAAUGUUUGUCAAAUAAAAACGAAAGUGCUACAGUGCCGUUUUUCACAAGUUUUUGCGAACUGAACAAAGCCUCACAAUCUGCAGGUGCACGUAGACAUGCCCGAACCAGGCACUGUUGUCAUCGCUUUUGGCCCGUGGGCCUGUGGGACAGCAGCUUCUCGGAGGCGACUCUAGUGCAUUUGGGAAUUUUCCUUUCAAGUUUUUUUUUUCUUUCACCAGAUCUCGCCUCUGGGAAUUUUCACUGCAACUGCAAGUUAUUCUUUGGCUUAUAUACACAAACGCAAACUCACCACUAUGACCGAACAAAGUUACCAAGCAUCUCUAAAGAAUUAACCUUACCCUAUAAACACAUGCGAAGAACUGAAUUAAAGAACGACGUAGACACACCGUACCUCUGAGCACCUUCGAAGUUAGACCGAUCUUGCAAUUACUGAAAAAUAGCAUCAUUAAGUUAUAAAAUAAAAUCCAUAAAAUACAAGCACUCAUGUCAAGUUGAGAACUUGAAUAUGAGUGGAUAUAUUCCACCACAACAAACUCAUUUAGCUGAGAUAUACUUUACUUCGCUUCCCUGCAAGUUCAUUUGGAGCAAUACCUCUCGGAAAAAAAAAGUUUUUUUUGGGAUUAAUAACACAUCAGCUUCCCUUAGGGCACUCACAAUACAGACUCUAUCAUAGAGUCUAAAGUUAUUUAUUACUUCGAACAAUGUGGACUUAGAGUCUAAAUAAGACUUGGAGUCUUAUAUUUAAUACCUCUUUCUUUAAUAAAUAUGCUGUCACAUCAGCAAAAUACCAUAAAUAAUAUAUAAUUAAUUGUCUUAUACUCUGUGAUAUAGUCUUGCAUUGUAAGUGUCUUUAGUAUUAACUUUAGCUGCUACUAUGUUUUAGUUCCAAUAUAUCCAUACAUAUACCUUCUUAACGCGUUGGCUACACUAGUGUCUGCUCUGCAUUAUUAUUUUCUUGAGACCACAAUGCUCUCUGCAUGUGCGAUGUGGGCCGCCGGUGAGAGAUUUUUCUCGUGGGCUGUUUUUUCUUUUGGGCCACGUGAGGCAUCUGGAAAAACAAGAUUACUUACAUUUUCAUUUGCAUUAAACUUAAAAGGUUAUAGCUUAAAUAGGUUAUAAAUCCUUAAAAAAUGUUCCACUUAGGUAUAUCUAGAUACAAUUUCAUUAAAAAUUAUCAUGAAGAUAUAAUAUCUUCCUUUUUGUUAAGUAAUACAAUGCUUAGGCCAGUCUUAAUGCAUGUUUCAUGAGAGUGUCAUGCACAUUAAAUAGGGUGCCACAUAAGCAAAAUUGCUGACUUGGCAGGGUCAUUAAAUAAAGGAGUUUCAUCAGAUGAGAGAGGAGUUUCAUCCCCAUGAAACUCAUAUGGCUCGGUUACCUAGUUUAUAGUCUUGGUAACUGUGCUGUGAAACUAUGCAUUGAGACUGGCCUUAGAUUUAGCAAACCAUAUCCGGCUUUCAUAAAAAAAACUUGAUUUAGGAGAAUGAAAUUCCAAGCUGAGGUAAGUAUUAUUCAUAAAUGAUAGUAUAAAAAUGACAAUAUCUUAUGGAAAGAAGGGUCAUGUUGUUUUAACGUGUAGCAUCUUUCUCGUGAGAAAUAUUGUUCCUUAGAUUGUUCAUGUGUAUCCAUGGAUGUUCAGAGGGUAUAUUAUAUUUUUAUUUUCUCAUAUAUCCAUGAGAUGUUUCAUGUUGUAUUCCCUCCAUCUCAAAAACGAUGUGCAUUCCUUUUUAGACCCAUGGCGUAUUUUGGAUUGUUGGCAUAGUGACCAUGGGAUGUUUCAAGACGUACUGUCAAUUGCAACCUCAAUAUUUGUAUGGUAUAUUUUUAAUUGUUUUUUAUAGUAUCCAUGAUGUAUUAUGGAUUGUUCGAUUUGUAUCCAUGGAUUGUUCCAUCAUAAAUUUCACUUACCCAUGAUAUGUUCCAUUGUGUAUUUUAAAUUAUUUUUCCUUUUCUUCUUUGUUUUUAGCUAUAUAUUUUAUAUCCUUUUAUUUUAUUGUGGUAUUUUAGUGAUGUUCACUUGAGCUAUUGUUUUUUUUGCUAUAUUUUUAUAGCUUUUUUUUAUCCUUGGUCAUGUGGUGAUACUAUCUUUAACUAUUUUUUGAUAACAUUGUCAUCUUCCUAUUUACAAGGUGUAUUCUGCUUUUUCUCAUGUAUUCAUGUCCUAUUCGUGGUGUAUUUUAUAAUGUUUCUAUAAUAUCCAUGAGAUGUUACACAAUGUACUUUAGGUUAUUCACCACGUAUCAGUAAGAUGUUCUACAAUAUAUUUUUUUAUUUUUUUUAUAUUGUGUAUUUUAGGUGGUUUGUGCAAAUCAAUGGGAUACUUGGCGUAGUAUUAAUGAGAUGUUCACUCUAUUUGAAUAUUAUGGAUUCACCAAACCUAGAAUUUUAUUUACCUAAACCUAAAAUACUAUUCUUGAAAACCCACAACAUUUUUCUUUUGAAGGCAGAACACUAUUUUGUGAGCCUAGGACAAAAUUGUUAUGCUCAUAAAAACACACGAGAAAAUAUUUAUUUAACAAAGCUUAUCUAAAUAUAUUAAAGUGAGGUCUUAUUUUGAAGGAUUUAUUAUAAGAAACAUAUUGUAUAAUCAAAAUUUAAUUUAAAUACUUGAUUUGUAAAUAAUCGCUCUAGAAUUUCACAAUACUAGCACAUCGGCUGAUGUAAGGAAUUUUGUUUGAUCUUGCGUGCAUACAUGCUUCUCCAAAACCAUAGUUCUUCCCUAUUUUGAUUUUGGUCGAAACAGAGAAGUAGAAAUAGUGAAGUGCAGGUGGGUCGGACCGUAGGAGUAGACGUUAAGUUUUGAAAUUUAGGAAGAGGAAGGCCUUCUUCUCCUACGCAUGCUGAGAGCAGGGGUCGAGUUUUCUUGUUGUUUCGUUUGUGCCGAAGGAAUCUCUGAAUGCGCAACGGUGAUUAAGAAUUUUAGAAGAAGAAAAAACUCUUCUAGAAAUGAGAUGUAUGCUCUUUUUUCUGAGAUGGAGAGAGUAAGCACAUGAGGUGCAACUAUAAACAGCAAAUUUGUAGCUCAAUUCAAGCUGAUUGGCUAAGAUUACCAUGAAUAACACGGAGGCAUAGCAAGAACAUAGAAAGACAGCCAAUAUGUAAAUAUUGCCUUUUAUUGUUGCCACACAUGUUACAACCAUUUGCAUCUAGAGAUUAGUAGGAGCUUUGACCGGCCUGGCUACCAUGAACAGGAGCGGGCACUGGAGCGUGAUGAUGAGGAUGAUGCAAUUUUGGAGCGUGAGCCGAUUGGUGGUGGGUGUGUACCGGUGCUGGGGCACUAUAAUCAUGAUGACUUGGCGUCGCUGCCGGUGCGUGAUGACUGUGGUGACCAUGAUGAUAUGGCGCUGAUGCAGGUGCAUGGUGACCAUGAUGACCUGGCGCAGGUGCAUGAUCAGCACCAUCGUGGCCAUGACCAUGAGAACCCAAUGGCUGCGCAGGUGCCGGGGCAUGAUGAGGGCUCAGAGUGGCUGCAUGGUGACGUGGGGCAGGAGCAUAGGCAUGUGCGUGGCAGCCGUAGUGUGUUGUAGAUGCUACCAUAAGCAGCAUUGCUAUUACAACAACCAUUGACGGGAUCGACGUCGCCAUAGAGAAGAGAAUAGCUACAGGAAAGAAACUAUCAAACUACUACCUAUGUGGUGUCUUACACUCCUAGACAAGUGCGCAUAUAUAGAGAGUUGUGACCAAGGUUUUGGCUAUCAUGGAUUGGAAAAUUUUAAUUGCUCAAAGUCCAAUAAGGAUCUGAUUGAUUAGCUCAAUGAAGGCAUUCUUUCAUUUUAGAUGUUAAUAAUAACGAAUUAAUGUAUUCUUUUUUUAGAUAUAAUAUUAACAAUGAAUCAAUGCAUUCUUAGGACAUGCAUGUUGAUCCAAGGCAUCAAGUAAUUACUUUCUAGAUAUGAGAUAUAUUGAUUUACUCUCUCCAUCCUGUAAUAUAGGAUAUUUUAGUAUUCAAAAUUUGUCCUCAAAUAUAAGGCAUUCAAGGAGCCAGAAACCAGUUCUGCAUUUAAAACUUUUCAUUUAUCAAACAAUCACCACUAAUCUUUUUGAUAAUAGUGUCUUAUUUAGAAACAAAGCGAGGACACAUGUGUUUUUUGUGUUCUCUCUUAAUUUGUCCUAAAAUUAUAGAAUGUACUAGAUUACAAGACGGAGUGUGAUAUAAUACUAGAAAACUCCUUUUUAAAACUGGUACACCUUGGAAAUAUAUUGCAUGCCUAUAGCACAAUUAACUACAUUGUCACCAUAAAAUACUAUUCCCUCUAUUUUAAAUUAUAGAUCGUUUUGGUUUUUAAGGUAUAUGGUUUUUACUAUGUUCUUAGAUAUACACUACUCCCUCCAUCCUAUAAUACAAUUCAUUCUAGCAUUCAAAAUUUAUCCUCUAAAUAUAAGGCAUUCUAGAGGACAAAAAUCAAUUUUAUAUUAAUUACUUUUUAUUUAUCAACCAAUCACCAUUAAUCAUAUUGAUGAUAGCGUAUGAUUAUGAAAUAAAAUGAAGGAACAUGUGUCUUUUAUGUUCUCUUUUAAGUUAUCUAUGUUACAGAACAGAUGGAGUAUAUAUACAUACAUAACAAAAUGAUUGAACAUAGGUAGUUAUUAUAUUACAAGAUUCAUAGUUAAAAGAGUAUUACUAAAUUAGUAAACUACAAUUAUAAAUGCCAUAAAUUAAGAAAAUAUAUACUAUGCUUCAAACUUGGAUGGGGCUAUGAAUUGAGAUGACAAAGACAAAGACAAGUUUAUGGAAACUUAUAGUAUUUUUGGGACCUUUUUAUUUUCUAGUAUUGAAAUGGAUGAAAGACAAUCAUUUGUGGAGACAAUAAUGCACUUUUCAAUGAAUAGAAUUUUUUUCCAGAGACUUGAUUGUACGAUAAGUUGUGUGGGGGAGGCUUGAAUACAUUUAGAAAAUUUUAUAGGAUUUGUAAUGAAUUAUAGAAAUUUCAAAUAUAAUGAAGUUUUGGUGUAUAAUUCUUGGGUACGCAUGUUUUUCAGAAAGGACGGCAAGAGCUUUGCCUUGAUUUCUAUUAGACGAAGAAAGAAAAAGUGUCCAUCUAGUUUUUUUAAAUGAAAACUAGAUCAAAAAAUCAUACAACUCAGGAGAGUGCACCACUCAUCUUACACAACUUCCAAAUACACAACUAUCCAAACUCAUUCCACCACCUGCUCCAACUUGGUCGAAUCGAACCAACUAACAACUCAAAAACAAAUAAGGUCAAUCUCAAUAGAGUUUUAUGCAAGUUUUUUGGACAUUAAAUAUGCUGACAUGACAUUGUACUAAUGAAGUGAGAGAUGAUAAAAGUUUCAUAGGAAGUAGAGAUAGUUUUAUGGGGAUAAAACUCUUCUAUAUUAUUUCUAAAAUAUAAAUGCAUUGGUAACUAGCCAUGAAACUUUCACUAAGACUGGUCUAAAGAACUAAAGAAAUACGAUAAUCUGUCGAACGACACCAAACCACAUAGCUUUGGAGCACCACCAAGGCCAGACGACAAGGAGCAACCAUGAAACUGGAAAGCCUAACAAUGUCUCCAAAGGAGAAAACAAUGCUAGAAGCACCGACAAGGGAGCCUGUUAGGGGAAGGUUUUCACCUGCAACAUCUAGUACGGUAGGAGGAUAGGUAGAAAAGGACGCCUCCAAAGGGAAUAGCAUCUGCAGACGUCAUCGUCCAAGCUUUCACCUUAACCUCAAGCAACCUCCACACUGUUGCCGUCAAAGACCCUACCCUACCAUGAAGGCUGGAUGUAGUGAUGGGUCAGCACCAGCCCUUCUUGGCUGCCAGCCCUAUGGGCGCAUGCUAGGAGAACGUUGGGAGAAGCCCAUAAGAGAGUCCACCUCGCUAAAAUCGGCAAAACCGACCAACAAAAAGCAAGUCCGACUAGCUCUGCCAUGAAAACUAGCCCGAGAAAGGAGGUAAGGCAGAAGGUGGAAGAAGAGGGCCAAGAUCAAAAGAAGCCCCAAUCGCCUAGCCCACCCACGUACCAACCUCUGUCAAACCAGCCCUGCAUCAACCACACUUGUAAGGCUUUCAGCAACCUUCGCAUCAAAUUGCUACAAUAUGCAUGCCCGCUCCCCAACCCUCUAGGAAUCUUAGCUAGAUCACAUAAUUGGAACCAGGUGAGGCCCGCAUCACCGCACAACACGUUCGGUAGCCCACUCCACUGUGGCUCAGGCAUCGGUGCCGCACGCAGCACACGUCGUCGUCGGCGGCCACCAUGAGGUCCACUAUUGCUUCCCAAAGGCGAGAGGGCUAGAACUGGAUUGGCCACCCCGAUGCAGCAGAGUAGGUCGGCCACCACGAUAGGAGCCGCCGACUGACUGACCAGCUAGCCACUUGCGGAUACACCCACCACCGUCCGAAUGCGCCACUGCAGGCCUAACCACAUCGAAGGACACCAUACACGCCUCCUAGCAGUCAGAUCCAUCAUCCCCCGAGUGGAUCUGGCCACCAUAGCAAGCAUCUCGAAGAGCAAAGAUGGGGGAGAAAGGAGAAGGAAGGAGGAGGAGAAAAUGUGGGAAAGGUAGAGAGAGGCCUCGUCGUCACCCUCCUCACCACCUGUUAGGCCUUCGGCAAGUAGCUCCGGUGGUGGCAGAGGUCAGGCAGGCCUGCAAUGGGGCAUGAGCCGGUGGUUGCGUGAGCCGCCCGAGUUCCCUAGAGCAGAUGAUGCGGGGGCAAGAACUGUAAUAAGAAGAAACCUUGAGCUGAACCUUGGGUACGUAUGCGCGUAGCGAUUUUGGUGGAUUUUGAGACGCUGACCAAAGGGACCAUAACCAUAGUUGUCCGUGCUAGUGACUCCUUCUAAUCCAUUAAGAUAUUUUAGCUUUUUCUAGAUACAUAUAUUGUGCUAUGUAUUUAGAUAUUUAUCUAGAUAUAUAGUUAAAACAAUGUGCAAAAAAUUCAAAAAUAUAUUAUAAUUUGAAACGAAGGGAAUAUUUUUUUAGACCAAAGUUGUAGAGACAUGGACCCAUGACUGCUUAAAAAUGCAAUCUACUAGAAUAUGCUCACAUACUAAAGGGAGAUGAUGGUGACGUUGGGCCGAGCCAUGCGGAAGUGAGGAAUGGCUAUGAGUGGUGGUGUGACAACAUUCUAAAAGGAGAUGCCACCCGAAUUCCCCUAGCGUUGACAUAGGGCCUGAUUGGUUGCUUGGUCAAGCGAGGCUAGCUCGUAUGAGUGAGCCAGGCUCCUGCUAUCCAUGCUCGGUACAUGCAAUAGAAGUUUGAUUGGUUGCUUGUUUUUGUAUUGCCAUGCUACGGAGAGAAAUUGUUUGGUUAACCUACUCGCAUGGUCAUCCAGUAUCGUUGUUCUCUUGCCUAGCGCGUCCUGCACGCUUGUCCUGCAUGGAGCCAACCAGGCCCAAUGUCUAGAGCCAGGUUGUUGGAAUGCUUUUGCAUCUGGCAAAGCGAGGCUCAGAUGGUUGUUCAGGCAUCUAAUCGCAUCCAACUGCAUGCGGGUGGCCCAAUUGGAGGUGUACGAGGCAACCUAUCGCGCCCAUAUAUGUCAUUAUACUCUCUUCAUUUGGAAUUAUAAGUUGUUCUAGUUUUUUAGAUACAUUAUUUUUAAUAUGUAUCUAGACAUAAUGUAUAUCUAUAGAAAAAUGUAUGUAUAUAGAAAAAUAGAAUGACUUAUAAUUUUUAGAAUGGAAGGAGUAGCAGCGAAUCCAUGGUUCUACGAGGGGGUUGGAUUAGGUUGGGUUGAAACAGUAAAGUUUAGGGUGGAUUAGAGUGAGGUAGUGAAAAAGAGUUAAUUUUUUAUGGGUUAGGUCGUGCAUGGAAUGAGUUUUAACCCACAAGGCUGAAGGGUCGAGAUGGCGGACUAGAGGGGGGGUGAAUAGUCCUUUCUAAAACUUAUUGCGCCGGCUAACCGAAAUAAAUGUGGAAUUAAAACUAUCGGUCUAGCCAAGACUACACCCAUCUAUCUAAGUUCUCUAGCACCCUGUAAAAGAUCCUAAACAAGAAAACAAAGUGCUUCCUUAGCAAUAGCUCAUCUAACCAAUUCUAGGAGCAAGGUCACACAAACCUAUGCCACUAGUACUUUGCAAACCGGGGAGCUCCUAUACAACUAGUAAGCAAAAGCACGAAGCUCCUAAGCUCACUAGCAAGCUCAAUAACAAGGCAACUAAUGCCAAAUUAGAGAGCGCAACUUACUUAGUUACACAAACUAAGCAAAGUGACUAACAAGGUUACACAAACCAAAUUAGCCACGCAAGGGAACUACUUCUAGCUACACAAGCAAGAAGGUAACUAUCAAGCAACACAAGCAAGACUAGUUACAAGAGCAACUAUACAAGCAUAAGGUAUAGAAUGUAAAUACAAGCUUGUGUAAGUCGAAUGCAAACCACCGAGAAGAGUAGACAAUGUUGACACGGUGAUUUUUACCGAGGUUCACUUGGUUGCCACCAAGCUACGUCCUCGUUGUGGCGAUACACCCACUUGAUGGAUCACGAGCUAAUUGACAUUCCAAAGCCAAACCCUCAGCGGGUGCCGCACAUCCACUCUCAAGAUGGGGAUCCUCCAAGCCACAAGCAAUCCACUAGAGUUGCUCUUCGCGAUCCCCGCGGGGUGAGCACCUUACCCCUCACAAAUCCUCCUCCGGAGCACCGCACAAUCUUCUCACGUGCUUCAAAUGGAGUCACAAUCCACCAAACCGUCUAGGUGAUGGCAAUCACCAAGAGUAACAAGAAAUCCCCAAUCACAAAGAUUUCCUAGUGCCACCAAAUGCAAAUCACGAAUGCACACACUAGGCUCUCACUCCCUCACUCAAAAAAGCACCAAGCAUGAGAGGGAGAGGAAGGGGAAAAGGUGGAUCUUCAACCUCUCAUCCACACCCACAAAGGCCUCUCAAUCUCUCUAAGAAAUUUCAGCUCAAAUCCAUGGGAGAGAGAGAGGAGAGGAGGAACCCUAACUUGCUUGCUCUCCUAAAGUGAGAAAAUGGGGAGAGAAGUGAGGAGGAAGAGGGCAGCAGCAGCCCCAAAAUGCCUCAGCUCGCGCUCCCAACGGUCAGAUUCAGCCUCGCAGGAAAUUCCAGUGCGGGUAGGAAAUAAUUCCAGGCGAACACACUUUUGACCGUUGGCGUGGGUUAGAUCUGAGCUCAACCGGAAAAUUUCCAGUGCGGGUAGGAAAUAAUUCCGAUCGACCCCUCUCUGUUGCAAGCACAAACACUAGAAUAUCCAGGUAGGGUAGUGAAUAAUUCUGAUCGACCCCUUGCUGUUUGGGCAUGACUACUAGCUCGGUUUUCCAACUCAAAACCCCUUUUUUUAAGGUGCUAACUUUCCCACAAAGUACCAAAAACAAUUGAGCACUUAAGUUAGCAUUUUCACAAAUAAUUUUUAGGGCUUUCUCAAGUAUUCUCACCACGUCACUAAGCACAAUGCAUAUGCAAAUGAGACUCACACUUAGUGGCACUAGAUAACCAUUGCAACUAAAGAUUUCCCCUCUUUAUAGUACGGUUAUCUAUCCUAAAUCCGGUCAAGCACUUCUCUACUCAACUUAGACCUGUGAAAUGAAAUGCCCUAUAGGUUAUACCUUUGCCUUGCGUAUUUCAUUCCAUCUCCUUCGAUGUUGAUGCAACACAUGCACCAACCAAUCGCAAAUGAUAUGAUCCACUUCAUAUCAUCACAUGACCGUAUUGGUUCAUCGAUCUUGACCUCACUUGCUCUUCACCAUUGCCUUGGUCCAUCGGCGCCAAGUCUUGCUCAAGCUUCACCGUCACAUGCGGUCCCUCACUUCAAAGCCUCUACUUGCCCUCCACACUUGCAACUAGUCCAUCGAGCCAAGCCUCAUCUUGAUCUUCUCCACCUUGGUCACAUGACUCCAUGUCAUGUCUCAUGUGCAAUGAGCUCCUCCUUCAUCACAUCAUCACCUGUGGACUAAUCUCCUGUAUAUCUCAUAUAAAUACUAUUAGUCCACCUAAGUUGUCACUCAAUUACCAAAACCAAACAGGGACCUUUCAAAGGCCUUGUUAGGUUGUUCUCAUAAUGAAAGGGAUUGGAGGGGGUUGAUGGGAUUUUGACUUGUGGAGGAUUUAACCCCCCUCAAUCCUUCCAAUCCCCUUAGUUUUGGGAUCAAACAAACAUGGCUUAACAUGGCUACUUGCUCACAUAUUCUCUUGGAAGGGAUUUUCUACCAAUACCUUCAUCAUGUUAUUGUCAUUCCUAGUCAGGUGAUGUAGGCUUAGCAACCAGCAGCGCCUUGCAGACGACUCGACCUACCACGUGGUGUUCGAGCCCAUACCGAGGUAGAUCUGACGAGACAACAUCUCCAGGCAGGCUUGACUCUUCUAGAAGUGAGAGGUACAUUCUUUUAUGAGAUUGAGGGUGUAGGAACACUGACGGAGCCUCGUAGAGGCGAAACGGGGCGUUCGCCCCCCUUGCCUCUGACAAAAAUCAGUGAACAAGUCUGUCAAUCCCUAAGAAAGCCUUUAUCUCUGAUAAAAACAAGUGAACUUGUACAUCCCUAGUAUUACCUUCAGCUAUGACUGACCGGAGAGAAGUAGAAAAGGCUAGUGAUGGGAAGUCGUGCAUGUCUGCCACUACUACUGUCAUAGCUACAGUAACACCAUUUAAAAUUAGCCCCUCCUUGAUUCUACUUCACCCUCCGCCACUGUGUAGGAAGAGGUGUGUAACCGUAAACAACAAAAGUGUAGCUCCAUUUAGGCUAGGCAUAGCAAGAAUAUAAAAAAGAUAACUAAGAUGUAAAUAUUGUUGUUUAUUGUUGCCACACAUAUUACAAUCAUUUGCAUCUAGAGACUAGUAGGAGCUCUGACCGGACCGGCUACCAUGAGCAGGAGCGGGCACGGGAGUGUGAUGACGAGGAUGAUGCGGUUUUGGAGCGUGAGCCACUUGGUGGUCAACAUGUACCGGUGCUGGGGCACGAUAGUCAUGAUGACCUGGCGUGGAUGCUGGUGCGUGAUGACCUGGCGCCGAUGCUGGUGCAUGGUGACCAUGAUGACUUGGCGCUGAUGCCGAUGUGUGAUGGCCAUCGAGGCCAUGACCAUGAGAACCUGAUGGCUGUGCAGGUGCCGGAGUGUGACGAGGACUUGGAGCGGCUGCAUGGUGAUGAGGGGCAGGAGCAUAGGCUUGCGCGAGAUGGUCGUAGUGUGUUGUAGAUGCUACCAUAAGCAACAUUGCCAUUACAACAACCAUUGAUGGGGUCGACAUUGUCGUAGAGAAGUAAAUAGCUAGAGAAAAGAAGCUAUCAAACUACUUACUACCUGGUGUCUUACAGUCCUGGGAUAGCAUGCAUAGAUAUAUAGAGCCGUGACCAAGGUUUGGCUAUCAUGGAUUGGAAAAUUUUGAUUGCUCAAAGUCAAAUGAGGAUCUAAUCUAAUUGAUUAAUUAGCUCAAUCAAUGCAUUCAUUCUUUUUAGAUAAUAAUAUAACAAAUUAAUAUAUUCUUUUUUAGAUAUAUAACAUUAACAAUGAAUCAAUGUGUUCUUAGGACAUGCAUGUCAACCCAAGGCAUCACAUAAUUACUUUCUAGAUAUGAGAUCUAUGGAUUUGUAAUACCAUAUUCUUCUUUAGAAAAACCGGUACACCCUAGAAAUUGCAUUUAUUGCAUGUCUAUAGCAGUUAAUUAUAUUGUCGUGAUAAAUUAUAGACCAUUUUGGUUUUUAAGCUAUAUAUGGUUUUUACUAUGCACCUUGACGGACACUAUGUAUAGAUACAUAAUAAAAUUUAUGUACCUAGAAAAUCAAAAUGAUUUAUAAAUUUGAAUGGAGGGAACAAUUUUUACAUAAUUCAUAGUUAAAGCACGUACUUGAACAUUCCUUUGUUCUAAAACUAGCAAAGGCUACCCUCGUAUGAAAAUCAUUUAUGGGCACAGUACGCAUAGAAAUUUUGGGGUCUUCUUUUGGAUUUUCUUGUACUUAAUGGAUGAAAGACAAUCAUUUAUGGGUAUAGUGCUGCAUUUUUCAGUGAAUAGAAAAUAAGAUUUUUUUUUUUGGCAGACUUGCUUGUACCAUAUGUUGUCUCGGAUCUAUUGUCAAGACUUAUACAAGAUGGGUUGGUUUGGUUUCAGUUCGGUCCUAUGAUUGAUUUGGGUUCAGUCUUGUCAUAUAAUUUGGCUUUAGGACCAAAAUUGCGUAACUUUAAGCGUGAUACAAGGUGACAUGUUGUGCUUAGCAAACAGACGGUCAGGACUAGGGAUGAAAACGGAUCGGAUACGGACGGAUAUCAUUGAUAUCAUAUUUGUUUUCAUAAUUCUGGUCGGAUUCGGAUUCGAAUACGGAUAAUACCAAUAAUGUCGGAUAAGAUACAAUUGGAUGUCGACAUCAUAAAUAUACGAUUUAAGUAUUCGGAUACGGAUACGGUAUCGGAUGUUGACUAUUCGGACUCGGAUACGGACAGAUCUUAACCUCUCUAAACGAAUUCGGUCUCGAAUACGGUCGGAAAAUAUCCGUACCGUUUUCAUCCCUAGUCAGGACAUACGCAAACAAACAACUUUCCAGCGCCGGCAGCAUGGACAGUUACCGUACAUAUCAACCCCAAUGUAAUGCAGUCGAAUUGGCACAUGAAAACUACUUACUAGACUAAACAAAUAGGCACUAUCCACUAUCGUGUAUUGCAAGGCCAUGCUGAGUGAAGAUACAAUCCAUUCAAGACUGAAUAAACAACAACAGUUCAUUCAAGCAGAAGUUUUCUUCAGAGCCCUAUCCAGCCUGACAUUAAAGGGAGUCGAGUGCCAGUUCACCCUUUUGUCCUGCAACAAUCCACCGAAGGACAGGUAGAUCACAAAAGUGUUCCAGCAAUCCAAAGAAUGUAUUGACUUGGCUUGCUUAGCGUACCUCUCUGUACUUGCUUGUUGAAUUGGGAAUCCCAUUAGUUCCUGAAUUGGAUCUAGAAGAACAGUACUCAUUGUCCUGCUCUGUGCAAUGCCAGUAACUUCCAACUGUACCCAAGAUCGGAGCCCCCUCACGGUUAGUUCUUGGAGAUCUUUGUGGAGAUGAUGCAGUCGAUGAUUGCUUCAGGUCAUCAACAGUCUGAGCACCCAGGAUAGGCCUUUCAUCUCGGUUUACUGACGAGAUGGAACAAGGAGAUUUGCUUUGCACCUUGUCCACUGUUGAGUUUUCAGAAGAAACCAACCAGGUAGAGAGGCUAGCGUCCAGAGAAAUUUCCUUUUUGCUCGAUAUGCUGGGGCUUGGACCUACAUCUGGCACUAUGUUUACAUUCUCCUUAUCGAACAAUUUACCAUGCACUGGUUGGGCCUUGAGACUCUUGACUUUCUUCCACUGUGACAGAUUCUGAACCGGGUUUAGCACAGGAUGAACAUACUGGCAUCUAUCACGGAGUUUCUUUGUCGCAAUUAGAGGGCUCUCUGCCUCUACAGAGGUACCACUGCUCUUGGGUGCAGGACUGACAACUUCUUGGUCAUUUUGCUGAUCAUUAGACAUUGACAGUGAGAAUAGGGAUUCGUGAGACUCCUGCUUGUUCUCUUCAGUUCUAAUUUCCUCCUCCUCAUCAACCAAAUCAAUCUUGCAGUCCAGAAAAUCCUCCUCAUCUUCAUCACUAUCAUCACCAUAGACAUCAUCCUCAGCAUACUCAUCUCCAACAUCAUCAUCACUGUCAGAACAAUUCCGGUAACGAUGAUUCUCUGGAAGAACAACAGUAUUCUGCACAUAGUUUUCAUCUUCCUCUGGUGGUUCCUCCUCUUGGUCAGGUGGUACUGCAUUUUCAUAUGUUGUGACAUUCAUGUCGAACGUUACUUUCUUCUUGCCACUGCUCCGACUGCCAUGUUCGUUCACCUCCCUACACAACAUGAGAGAUGGUUUAUUAACAGUCACGAUCACGUAGACUGCAUCACUAAUGAUAUAAAAAGAAUACACUAGUUCCUUCGAAUACCUGAGAUCUGAAUCCAGAGCUGAAACUACUACUGCCACAACAGGAGAACACUCCACUGAAUCCUGUGGGGAAACAGCUGCUGCCACAAUAGGAGAACAUUUCACUGGGGAGAGUGAUGGUGCGGCUUGCUUCUCUAACACCUUUUGCUCACUCAAAUCCCUGUAAACAAAUCAAAGUAAGAACUGAGAAGCACAGCAGUACAGGCAAAUUACUGCAAAAUAUGGAAAGCAGACAUAAAGUAUGCAGGAAGGCAGUUGGCUGCGAGGAACUGGCACCUACGGGCUGAUGGGUAGACAGCAUGAGGCUUGCAGGUUGCAACCAUGACUUGAUGAAUGGCACAACUAUAGUUCUUCUCUAUAGAAUUACAGCAUAAAUCUGUGGGCAAGCAGUUGAUUUGAUUCCCAAGCAGUGGCACCCAUACAGCGAGUUUGCGAGAGGCUUCCAUCUAUGAAAUGAAUUGAUGAAUAGCACAGCUCUAGUUACUCUAUUUAGCAUUUUAGCAAGCACAACAGCAGCAGCUCGGUUCCUCCCAGACAUUAAACACAUUGUUCACUCGCACGAGCAGGUAAACACUAAAGGCACGCGCAAAUAGUUUAUCGAAGCACUGGAGUUUAGACGCACCUGAGCUCCUCGACGGGGCUCGCGUCGGUGACCGCCUCAUCCGCGGCCACCACAGCCGACGGCGUCGUUGAAGCCUUCACCUCCUUGGACAGCAGCAGCGACUCGUCGUUCGCCGCCACAUCCGCAGCCUCGCCGACCGCCUCGUCCGGGACCUCCACGGCCUCCGCCAGCGUCGAGGGCUUCGCCCCGCGCAACGGCGGCGACACCUCCUUCACCACCACAUCCGCCGCCUCGCGGGCCACCGCAACCUGCGCGACAAAACCCCCCCAAAGCCCAAUCAGAGUAAGAAACCCGCCGGCACCACGGGCCUGGCGUAGGAAAGGAUGCCCGAGUCUGCGAGAGCCCUCACAUGAAUCGACCGCGGCGGAGACCUCGCGGGAGACUGCCUCCGCGACUUCCGGCGGCGCCGGCGCCGGUCGGCGUCGCCGCCGAAGCAGGCGAGGAAGCAACCCAUGGAUCCGGCCCCGGGCUCUGGAGAUGCGUGCGGGAGGAGGGGGGAUUUGAUUCCGUGGAAUUUGAAGGGGAUGUUUUGGCGUCGCUGCUUGGCUUUGGAUUCGUGGGGGAAUCUGACCGUUGCCGUGGAGGCCAGCGAGGGCGCGGGGUUUGUUGGAGGGUCCCGAUCUGAUGUUUGAAUUUUCAUUUUAUCUCUAUCUCUAUAACUAAAAACACCCGAAAGUCAUCGUCAGCCCCCACCCUAAUCGCCCCGCCCUCGCUCUAAUCGCCCCACCCCCCUCCCGCGGUUAUCGCCCCCGCACCCUCGGUCGCUGCGGUUAGCGCCUUCCCUUCUCUCGCCAUUCCUGGUUUCCCUCCUCUCGAUCCGCGCCCCACGCCCCCCGCAUCUCGAUCUCCAUGGCCGAGCCACGCAGCUGCCUCUGCUCCUCUCGAUCUCCGGUGGCCGAGCCCCGCCGCGAGCCCGCUGGUCAUGCGCACGCCGGUGGCCGCGCCCCCCGCCGCGAGCCGCUGCGAGCCCGUUAGCCACGCGCACGCCGGUGGCCGCGCCCCCCGCCGCAACGCCCCCCGCCGCGAGCCCGCUGGCCGCGCGCAUGCCGGUGGCCGCGCCCCCGGCCGCGAGCCGCCGUGAGCACGCCCCUCGCCGCAACGCCCCCCGCCGCGAGCCCGCUGCCGGAGCAGCUGCGCCGGUGUCGCCGCGAGCCCGCUGGCUGCGUGCACGCCGGUGACCGCGCCCCGCACCCCCCGCUGAUGCCCUCGGUCGCUGAUGCCCUCGCUGCCGAUGAGGCCAUCGUUUUCUCCGUAAUAAAGAGUAAGCUACAAGCCUUGAUCACGUGUGUCGCGCGUUCGGUUCUCCUUCACUCCUUCGUUCUCUCACCUAGGGUUCCUGAUGCUCUGCCAGCGCUGGUGGACCUCUCGCCUGAGUACCUCAUCGGCGCCCCAGAUUCCGUGCGGGAGCGGGUGGCGCUCCGGGGCCUCGAGAAGCAUGGAACCUUCGCCGACGCCGCCGAAGGUGCUGCUGCAGUGGCGCCACCUCCGUCGAAGAUUCUUAGGGUUGACGCCGUCCGCUCUUGCGAGGACUUGCUGGUUGAGCUCACCGAGCAGGUAUUUAGAGCCGGGAUCCCUUUAGAGCCUAUGCAACCAUGUGCAUUUUCGAUGUGGGUGUUUCUGACUUCUGAUUUGUCUAUCCAUUUUAUUACGUGAAGAGCUUGCAUUUCUGUUAAUGUUGAUUAUUUUACCCCGUCACUUUUGGAACGAUUUGAAGGAAGCUAUAUAGUUAUUUGUUGUAGCCACUUGGUUUCUGUUUCAGUUGAAACUGUCCUGGUUUAGUUGUCAAUUGUGAUUGGUAGAAACUUUGUGCUAGGGCAGGGAAAUUCACUAAAACUGUGAAGCCUGUGUUUAGUGAGGAUAAACGAAUAAACAGAUAUCAUUUUUGUUUUGAAAACUUAAUAAUCUGGACAGUGUAUCUGAUCACAAGCUAUUCUUGUUGACCAAUGUCAUCUGUCACAAUAGGUUGAAAGAAAAACAAUUGUGAUAGAUCUGUAGCAUUUUCAUUUCAUGAUAGAAACUGAAAUUAUCCAUUUUCAUCUAAACUGAUUCAAAGAUUAUCUUCAACAAGUAACUGAAUAUGUAAUUUUUAUUGAUGAUUCAAGAGUGAUCAUAUGAUGUGUAAUCAUUUUUUGAUUUGUUCGUCAUUAUGAUAUUCAAAUUGUGGAGUGUACUUCAUCAAAAGUGCGGGUUCGAUCUAAAAUUGUGGAGUGUACUUCAUCAAAGUUUGCCGAUGCCCAUCUUGCAGCUCUUUGGAUGUAAAGCUGAUGACAGCGUGUAAGUUCAUUCAGCGGAGUUGUUGGCUGGUCUUAUGGACAGCCGUGUAUUAGUCGGGUCUUUCAUUUUAUUUUGUCUCCAUGACAUGGUCGUUUAGUCCUAUAUAGCAGAGGUGCUGUUAGUGGUUGUUUGUAGUGAUUGGUGGCGCGUCUUUAGCUAAUCCCCUGCUGGGCAUGCAUGUGCUGGGUUUGGGAGAAGGCAUUCUGCAUCUAUCCCUUGUAUUAUUCACCUUUUUCUUCUUAAUUAAUGAAAUGACACAGCACUCAUGCAUAGUUCGAGAGAAAAAAUAUAUGAUUCCGAUUUUAAAAAGAAUUACUGCAUUGCUUUACCAGGAAAUUGUUUAAGUGCUCUAUUUAGUGCCUAAAGAUAAUGAUAUCAUCUUAUUUGUAAUUCAUCGCAUAAGAAGUCAUGUAUACCUACCGUGGAGAUUUUACAUGUAUGUGGCUACCGGCUACUGCUUAUUGGUGCUUCUUUGUGAUUCAAGUGUAGCUUGUCUUAUCAUUUGUGAAACAAUCUUCAAGCGUUUUUUAAUUUUGUUUAUUGUCUUCCAAAACUACAUCAUUUUGCAAUUUGGUUGUCAUUAAGUCAUUCCCAGUUUCCAGAUUCAAGGUAUAUGUUACUUAGAGUGUAAAAUUUGCAGGUUGGAAGCUCUGGAAUUCGGGAUAUAAUUAUGCCUUUUAGACAAGAUAUUCAAAACUUUAUUUGUAUCAAGAAACCUACACUACCAGAGUCUUCUUUGGAAUUGGUAAGUUGCAAAGGUAUUUUUAAAAUGAAAAAUUGGAGGUCUCCCCAAAAUACUACCAACCUGUUGUUUUACAUGCAGCUUAGAGAAGUGGACCCAGAGAUCCAAUCUAUGGCUGCAUCAUCAUCAGUGGAGCAGAAUGGUAUCAAGAAACACGACAAUCAUCAGUCCUUAUGCAAUGUCCACCAUCUUAACUCCAAUAUUGAUACACCUAGGCCCACUAUUGCCAGUAUUGAGCUUCAGCCUGGGAAUUUAACAAAUUUAGUCAACAACCUUGAAAAAGGUAAUUUCAAGCAGUGUCCAGUCGAAUCAACUGUUGAUCUUGAUAAGCCACUUGAAACAGACAGAAGGACCUGGUGAUCUGUCUGAAUGUGGGAUCGUCGCAAUCUUGGCUCGAAAGGACCUGGUGAAUUCACGAAUUUGAGGGCUAUAAAGCUGUUGUUAUUUGUGUCCAGGCAUGUCAAGAUAAUAUUUUUGCUAUUAUGUGCUCUUUAGGAGAAGACCGGAGCUUUUGCAUGCUCUCAUCAACGAAUAGGAAGCUAUCAGAUCUUCUCCAAGCUGGUAACUAACUUGGCCAUAAUUGUUCCAUGCAAAUCUUGCAAUGUCAUUGCAUGACUGAUUAAUAACUUGUUUUUUGGGGAUCAAGGCUUUUCAGAUAUAGGUGGUGAUGGAUAUGCAGUGUGAAGUGAAGAAAGGAAAGACAACUAUGAGGUUACUAGGUGACUGAAGUUGUUCCGUUGAGUUUUCUUCUGAGAUCAUGCAUGCUUGCAAAUCAUAGUUUAGUUUGGAAUCCAUGGUCUUGAAUUAGCAUUGUAUCUUGAAUUGGAUUGUAACAAAACAAAAUUCUUGUGGUAUGAAUGUAUGCUACCGAUGUGCUCUUUUUUCCCUGCGUUGCAUAUUUGUUGAUCUAUUUGCCUUUGUUACCAACUUACUAAUGCUAUUAAAAAUAUCUUGGGCUUUUAUUAACUAUGCCACAAUUUUAUAGAUUUAGGAGGUUAUUGGACAAACAAAUUUCUAUAUGCGAACUUUACAUAGAGAUAGAUAUAUCAAUUUUUCAGUUAUAUAGUUCUAGAUAGAUCAAGGGUACCGUGUGAUUUUUUGGAAGAAAUAAAUAUGCCUUUUUGGUUUGUUAGAUACUCAUAUCUUUCUACACUAUCAACUUGAAGAUGCAUUAGAAACAUCAUAUGAGCAUGAAACUAAUGGUGCGAUCUAUGUGUUUUUAACAUAAAAGUUUUUUGUCCCGUAGCAACGCACGGGCACGCUACCUAGUUAAGAAUAAAAGAGGGUUUUAUUUGGUGGGCGCCAUUCCAAAAUUUUUAAACUGAAAAUCGCGAGGUUUCUGGGGUUAGGUUAAUGCGAAUUUUAAGCUUGAAAUUUGGGCAUGGCGGAUCGAUUCGUCGGUCGUGGCCGUGGGGCACUCGCAUUCCCGCAAGCCGCAGUCCCCCGGCCCCGCACAAGACCGCUCGCCCAGCGCCCCGGCCCCAAGGGACCAAACUAACUACUGUUUAGCAACGGAAUCGCGGGCCUCUUACAUAUUUACCAUCGUAAUAGUGGCCUCUCAUCCGAUUUUUAUUUUUAUAAUAUGUCAUACAUAUUUAUCAUCUUUAAACAACAAUUCUUUCAUUUGAACCAUAUUUGUAAUGUGGCAGCCUAGGUCUACUGACACGGUGGCGCUGAGUCAGCACGGGUAGGAGAAAGGACGAUGCUGCCCUGACCUCUUUUUUUUUAUUAAAAAAUAAAACAAACACAUGCAUGCAUAGUACACUAUAGAUUCUUUUUAUUAGCAAAAAAUAAUAGGUAUUCAACUGAAUACCCUUGAUUUCAAGUGAGUCUUUGACCAUGAUUUUUCGAACGUUAAGGUACCAUGAUUUUUUUACCAUGAUUUUUUGAAAGAAAAUGAGGCUAGGGGCAGUGUCGUCAUUUUGCCUGCCCAUGCUGAGUUAGCACCACUAUAUCAGUCAGCUUGGGCUGACAGAUGUGCAAAUAUGGUCUAAAUGUAAGAGUUGUCAUUAAAAGAUGGUAAAUAUGUAUGAUGUAUUUUAAAAGUGAGAAUCAGGUGAAGGCUAUAGUUACGAUGGUAAAUAUGUAAAAGGCCCUGAAUCGCACACCUCCAAAGCCCCGACGCCCGACCCCACAACCGGUCGCGGGUUGCCGCUCCGAUCGGCUCGAGCUCGAUGCCGCCGGCCGGUUCACGCGCCCGGACGCCCGACCCCACCACCACGCCUUCCACAGUGCCACGUCUGCCACCCAACGGCCGACCAGCCACCGCCGCCUCUUCGAUUCUGCUCGCCGCCACUCUCCCCUCUGUUUCGGCCGUCGUAGAGCAGAAAUCGGCGAAUCACCAGCAGCUGACUACCUGGAGUUGAGGUUGAGGCUGAGGCGACUUGGUGCGUGGGGGGCUCUCCGCGCAGUCAUUGCCUGCUUCCGACAUUAUUGCCCAGGUAAGCUCCCCAUUCUGCUGGUUGCUGAAAACGAAUUGAUUGUUCGAGUUGGGGAUGCAUGAUGAAUAGAGACCGACAUCUUAUUUCUACCGUUAAGAAAUUUGUGUGUGCUGCGUGGAGCACAUUGGAUACACCUUAGCGUGUCGCUGGAGUAUAACAUGAAAUGGUUGUGGAAGGAAGUAGGCAUGAAGUAACAUUCCAAGCUUUAGCAGCCCGUACAGGUACAUUAGUAAUGGUGUAUGAUGUAUGAUAAAUUGCUUGCAUUUGAAGACCAUCGGUACAUUAUUGACAUUUUACUACUGCACCUCAAUACUGCAUAACCGUUGAUAUUACAUAUAUCGCAUUCUACAAGCCAGAGUACUUAGCUCUUGAUAGAGUUUGGAGUUCAGCCCCUUAUUUUAAUCCUUCCCUUUAGGAGAUUACAAUGAAGGACUGUUUGACAAGGCUAGCAAACCAAUAAUAAGCACUUGUGAUGCUUCUUCUUCUUCUUCUUCAUACCGAAAAACUUGCUUUGCAUAGUAGUUGCAUAACCUGCAUCGUCUACUGGUGUCUGCUAUGAUUCAGAAGAAUCAAUAUUUUGUCAGAGGAGCAAAUCCGUGCUUAAUAGCUGCCGACCAAGUCUUAUCGAUGUCCAUCAUAUCGUCGCCGCUCUCAUGCAUAUCCCAACCUUCCAGAGCAUGCAGUAUUCCAGCAAUACGCCAGGCACUCAUGACCCUUCUGGGCAGCCAAUUCUGUGAAUACAACCAGUUGUGUCAUGCAUACUGAUGUAGAUUGCAUUAUCUAUUUGAGUCAUGCAUACUGAUGUAGAUUCCAGCAAUGCAUACUGAUGUAGUUGCAUAAUCCCAACCUUCUAGGCUUUGAAAAAUUAGAAAUUCCCUAUGUAGUUAUGUGAUCCCAUUUUUCAAAGCUUACAAGAAUUUACACGAACAGGUAACAGAAGCCACUAUUAUUACCUCACAGGUGUGAACAUUUUCCAUUGUCUCUGGGAUCUUCAUUGCCGGAGUACUCAAGUAAGUGCAAUCCCUGCGGAUCUUCUUAAGUGGAAACUGUGAUGUAGGAAUGAACGUUGUUCCUUUUGGUGCCCUCUGUUGCUGUUUAUCAUCUAUGUUAUCUCCUAUCCAGAUCUGUACAAUGGAACUUCAGUCAACAGUAUAUUCUGCUUGCUGGAGGGUUGUUCCUUCAGUUAUAUUAUAUGUCCUAGUUAUAAAUAUUUUUCCUACUAGUUUUCUUGUCAUCUGGUAGUAGAUGGUAUUUCCAAAACUUGCUAUCACUAAAGCGCAAAAGGUUUAGUCCAUAGAUGUGAAACAGCAGAAUGUGUUAACAGCCAGAUUUUGUGUAAGUAGGACUAUAGUACACUAAGUACAGUAUGCACUAUCCUGUCAUGCACUCAUGCCUUUGCUAGUGAGGCCCCCUUAUGAUGUACUCACUCCACGGGCUAAGGCAUUUCCUGAGUUUUUUUUUUCAUCCCUUUGUUAUACACCUCUUACCUUAGGUAUGUCUUUAUUGGAGAAUUUUAGGUAGACAGUUCUACCCUCUGGAAGUCGUGACUUGAGCAUGUCAUGUUCCUUCUUUUGAUUCAUGAUUACCUGAGCAGAAAUAUGUUGGUGAAAUGUUUUGAAGAUUUUGAGAAUACCAUAUUACAGUUAGAAUAACAUAUUAGACAAAUAGAGUGGCAGAAUGACAGAUGUACCUGGAUACCUAUCUCACAUAAGGCGAUAGCUGUUCCCUGGGCUACCUUGGAAGUAAUUCUUGAAAGAAACACUUUCUUCGUACCAAAAGGGAUGCUCUUGAGCACCACUGCAGUUGCUAGGCCACUUCCAUCAACAAGUCGCACUCUUAGUUUUGGAUAUUUUUGUAUAAAUAGUUCGCCGCUUCUAUUAAGUGUCUUUGCCUAGAAAACCAAAUAUAGUGUUAGGCUCUUCUUAGGAGAAACUAGUGUGUAGUGUGCACCAAUUUGUGCAAUACUCUGGCUUAAAAUUCUAUUUGAAUCAAACAAACAGGAAAUGUGUGCCUACUUGUUUUUGUCUUAUAUGCUUUUUUGCAUUUUCCUUAUUAUUACAUUACAUGACCUAUAAAUGUGUAAGGCAAGUACGAUUAUCACCUGAUUUAGUAGUCCUAGACUGAGCACCUUGACCCCCCUUUCAUCAGCAUCUAAUAUUGCCUUUUCGAUCAAGCUAUUAAUGGAUUCUCUUUCCAAAGUCAUGCCAUACUGCAAGAAAGGAAAUUGUCAGUAAGAUACUAAGGUGUUAGAUCAUAAAGCACCCCAAAAAAAGUCAAGUACUUGGAAGUUGUAUCUUGGUAUUGCCCAUGUCUGCAUCUUGAACUUCUUCAUUUGGAGUCUCUCAAUGACAAAUGCAGACGAUCCAUAAACCCAUGCUAAUACCAUUGAUAGAAAAGCCACAGGCCAUAUCAUCCAGCUAUACCAUACUGGCUUGUUGGAUGGUUUGGAAGCAAUGGAGGCAAUCCCAAUCCUUAGAUGAUAAGUCGAUUGCAAGGUGGUCAUAUGUGUCAGGUGAACCAGAUCUGGUGUUUCAUCUGUGACUUUCAGUGAUUUCUCAUACAGCUCAUCGCUUGACUUGUCCAUGGUGUUGUACAUGUAGUCGUAGAAUGGCAUGAACAGUGAGUAGUUUGUGCGGAACUGGGUGUGAUGUAGAGAGUGAAACCUGUAGGACAAAACAAUGGUUGAGAGGUAUCAUUGCCCCCCUCCCCCAAAAAAUCCUGUUCACAUGGGAAUUCAAGGGAUCCCAAAUCUCAUCACCUGGUACUGGUUGACAAGAUUUUUAUUUUCAUGUUAAAAUGUUAUACUUACGAUGGGGUGUACAUGAGAUACUUCAGAGGAGGGAAGGCUUUGAAGAUCCACUUUGGUACCAGUUCAAAAUUGCAGUGCCCCAUAUUAUUCAUGAAGUCAAUGUACGCAAUGUACAAGACAAUGCCCAGAACAGAACCACAGCCCAUAAAAAUGGGUGUUAAUGUCGGGAUUGAAAACAACAUGAAAUAUACCACAUGUUCAGCAAAUGGAUGGAUGACAGCUGUCAGUCGCACAGUAAAUUGUGUUAGAACAAAAGACAAUUGUGAAUUGAGUGCAAAAUAUUAAAUACUGCAUUGCCACGCUUUCUAUAACACAAAACACUAAAGUGUCUGGACACAAUGAACAUUUAGUGAUUUAUUGCAGCAAUAUUAGUGUAUGGUAUUUUGUAGAAAAUUUUGAAAUAGAUUGGGUGCUGAAGGACAAGAAAUUACUACUCUGGUCAUAACUGUCUUUUAAGGUUUCAGAGGACUGCCGUUGGAGUUUUGUAGUCUUUUUUCUUGGGCACAUUUAUUCUUCAAAUUAUUAUGUUUCCAGCACCAAGUUAUUCUCCCAUCAGCUGGACUGCUGUUGUGGAUAAGUCAAAAAAAUGCAAUUGCAAUAAAAAUGUCAAUACUGCAUUCCUGGCUACUAUGCCCAUUCUUUAUUCCUUUACGAGACACUCUUCUUUGUUCUUAUUCUUAUUUAAAAUAUCGUGGACUCCAUGAGUAGUGCCACCCGAAGUUAUCAUGCAGGAUCACUAUUUUUUUACCUAUUGAACUUGGCUUGGAGGAUUUUUUUUUUAUCUAAUACGCACCAGAACUGCAUAUAUCUUUAUUGAAGUAGAAUGAGUUUUACUCCACGCGUCUGGCAAGUCAGUGGUGUUCCGUUGGUCCAAACAGAUUAUGGCUGGAACAACUACGUGUUGGUCCAACAAGACAUGGAGGAUUAUAAUAAUGAUGGAUUCAUUUUGGCAACUCAGAUAAACUGUUGAUGUUACUUACAGGUUAUGGGUUCUGUGACGAUGGAGGCAUGGUGGUGUGAGUGGUAGCGAGAGUAGAGGAAAUGGUGGUGCAAGGCUCUAUGGAACCAGUAGUAGAGGAACUCAACAGGCCCCAUGUGAAGCAGCACAGUGACGAUGGCCCCAUCAGUUCUCCAGAUCGGAAGGAGCCUGACAUUCGGGAUCAUUGCAUAGGCCAGAUAGAACUCGAGCCCAUUGAAGAUGAUCUGGUCAUCCCUGUAUACAGAAUGGUAAGGACUGUAUUAUAUUGCAGUGCAGAUGUGCAAGCUGCCGAGUUAAAGUUAGAGUUAGCCAAUGCAACAAUAUCUGAUAUGUGGGUCUAUGUGCAGUAACAAACGGUUGCCUGUGACACUUACCAGGACCUCUCCCGGUCCACCUGCUCGAACUCAAUACUACGGUCCACAAUCACGUUCUUUCUGCGAGCGGUCUGAUAGCGAGACAAGCUGAUCCAGAUUUGGUUGUGGAUCAUCCUCAGCAGAAGGGCUGGUAACAUGGUGGCAUAUGCUGGGUCAAGGUCUCCCCACCCCUUGGUUGCGACCCUGUGGGCAGUGUGCAGCACCGCAGGUACCAGGACCAGGUACUGUCCAUUCAACACAAACUCUGAAUCAGUUACAAUAGGAUAAUGAAUGCUUGUAAAUGUGUUCAGAUCUUUUGGUCCUUAGCAGCACGUCAGUUCAUCCGUCUGCAUUCAUUUUCUCAUGCAGUCAUUUAUAUGUACAACUACUACCUCUGUUUUUAUUUACAUAUCGUUAAAGCUUUGUUCGAAAUUAAAUGUUUGUAAUUUUACUAUUUGUUUCAAAAAAAAUUAUAAAAAUUCAUGACAUAAGAUCUAUGUUUUUAGAUUCAUUAUGAGAAAUAUUUUCACUAUGUAGUUUAUAUGUUGUGAAUCAAUAAGAUCCGUUGAAUUGAAUGGUCAAAAAUAGUAUUGUUUGACUUAAGACAAACCUAAUAUGACAUGUAAGAAAGAACGGCGGAAGUACUACCGGUGAUUUAGGCUUGACACAAUAAAAUUUCGUGACUUCAUGAGGAUCUGGCCGAUGUGAGCUGACUACUUUUAGCAGAAGGUAAGUACAUAAGCGCUUAAAUCUCUUUUUUAGAAACAAAAAUCCUACAGAACAUUUUUUUUUUGAAAGAUAAAUGGGCCUGAUAUUGGCAGAUGAUUUAAUUUUUCUGUGCACCCAUUAUUGGCUUGAUACCAAAGUCAUGUCACAACUAAACCAAUAACCUAGAAUCAUGACAAAACCAUUCCAAUAAAAUCAAUAAGAUACGGAAUAUGCAUCUUAUGAAUCUAUAACCACUAUAACAGAAUGAAUGCAAGUAUAUUUGUUGGAUGAACAGAAUGGUUCUCUGGUGAUUCACUGCGAUUAUUGUCUACUGCAACACUGGUACACUACCAAUGCAAACGCCCCCCCCCCCCCCCCCCACACACACACACCACCAUGACCACAUCAUUUCUAGCUGUACUGUACUAAUUUGAUGCAGAAUCUAAUCAUCAACCAGUUUAUUUAUUUUCUGCUUUAACUACUCUAUUAGCUGUGCUUGUUGAUCCUUGUGGCCACGUCAUUAGCUAAAGAACAGAAACACUAUCUCCCUCUGUCAAAAUCUGAAACCUAAAACAGUCAAGUAUUUGAGAGAAACAGUAAAGGUAAUUAAGACAACACAGAUAUGUGUAAGUCGAUAGUUUUGCAUACCUUGAAGUUCCCCAUCCAUUGCCAUGGCCAUUCUGUCAAAGGUCCCGGGCGUGUUGCCAUGGUGAUGAAGGAGACCUUGCUUUCUUCCUGGGAUAAGCAGUUACCUCAGCUAGCUAUGCUAUUUUGGUAAGCGCUUCAAGCUCCCCUCGCAUUUUAUAUGCAGGGUGCAGGGAGGGACAGUAGGAUUUAGCAAAAAACACCUCCAAAAGUAUAUGUUUUCAAAAGCCUCUCUUAGAUUCUUCCUUUUUGUCAGUCAUCUUGUGAAAAUGUUGUGCUGCUCUCAGUAUUAUAAUAUAAUAACACUUCUCCUAUAUUUUAGGUGCCCAAAUUUUAAGAUAAUUUCAGGCAACAACUCUUGUACAACUAGUAUAAGUAAAUUUUUACUUUUGUUAUUUCUCUUUGUAUCAUAAUAUAUUAAAUUUUUUGUCCUUGUCUGUCUAUAGAAAAUAUAUAUAAAUUGUUAAUUGUCUUUAUGUUAAUACGAAUCGGAAUUUAUUGGUUUUGUAGUUUUGUCUAACGGGUUAUUCUCAGAACCAAAAUUUGCAGAUUAUGCCUACAUAAAUUGCAAUGAACCAAAGCUUCAAUUUUAUUAUAAAAUAUAUGUAAUAACCAUCAAGACCUGAAUUUUAGCUAGUCCCAUAUAAUAAUCCAGUCUUUUCAAGAAUUGUUCUUGCGGAGGAUAUAUAUCACAGAAAAUGUACAAAAAAGUGUUAAUAUCCACAAACUGAAAUUCAAAUAGGAUGUAACAGAAUAUUUGUUAGACCUGUCCACGUGUUAGCUAACCUUGAGUGACCUAAAAAAGGACUUUCGACUGAAACUAUAUAUAGUAUAAGUGUAGCACUCAGUUUCCCGAAUGAUUUUAUGCUACUUUAGAGCUUGUAGCCUUGUACCAUAUAGCCACAAAAGUAGUAUACAUAGAGAAUACAUUUGUACCGGUCACAUUCUAAAGGUACAACUAGAAAUUAGUGCAAAUGUAACAACACUCAAACAUGGAUACUUAAAACUUGUCGGCUCUAAGCUUAGCAUUAGGUGGUGUCACGUGAAGAAGAGAGGGACUAAAACUUUUGAGCCAAUGUGAGGAAAAGAGCUAAACUCUUUGGUGCGCUCUGAUGCUUGGUAUAUUAGCGGAGCGCAGAUGCUAGCUAGAUGCUCCCAAUUAAUAGAGUCGACAUCGACGACGACCAAGGUUUGAUAGAUUACUCGGCCAGCUUGUGGUAUCUGUGCGCCUUCCUGCUGCGACUGUGAGCGCGAGGUGGCGCGGCCGGGAGCCUAGGCACCGCGAAGCACCGGCACCGGAACUGCCGCCGGAGCCGGUCCAGGCCUUUCACCCUGAUCCUCUGCCGCAGCCGCUUCAUGAUCUUGUCCAGGACGGCCCUGAAACCCUUGUGCAGCUUCUUGCUCGCUUUCGCCAGGCUAACGAGCCGUCUCUUGCUGCUCCUCUUCUUCACAACUGCAUCAGGAUUAAUUGUGGUUGGGUCAUUAGCCACUUCGUUCGUUUCUCGUAGUAUACGUACGACAGAUUCUGAUGAGAUGAUAUAUAUUUUCUUUCCUCAGGAAUUAUUAAAAGAUUGGGCAUGUUGAAGACGGACAUAUCGCAUAUCAUCAGCUUAGACAAACGUCAAAUAUUGUUGAGCAAUAUGGAUGCAUUUGUGAUGCCGUGUGGCAUGUCGUCGUUACAUUUGAUCUGAUUGCUAUCACGGUCUUAAAGCCAGCCGCUCAGACUGCUGCAAUUAUUCGCUUGUCUGAAGAGUCAGCUGAAAGUAUUGUUCGUUGAUUUUUUUUUUUUUUACAGAAAAACAGUGAAGUUCAGCACCAACAGUAGUGCUGCCAUGGAGCCAAACGAACAGAUCAUAGAUGUCUUGAUGAUGUGGUUAGCAUGUGCACGUUAUUAGAGAGAAGAAAAAAAGAGGUUGGUUGUCCUCUGCUAUCCAUCUCCCUACUGACUAAGGAGAUCCAGAGGACAGUAGGUUGCAUCGCCAAAUAUGUUUCACUGUUUAUACAUAUGGUGCAAAGCUGCAGCAGUUAUGCUUCCCUUUUUCAUGCAUGAUUAACUUGAGACUAAAUGGCAUUUCCACCUGGGUACGGUGGCGGAUGGGUUUUUAUCGCUAUCGAUCGCGUCGGCUUCUUUGUCGUACUACAACUGUAUAACACGCUAUACAUAUGACUGAUCACGUGAUAUUCGAUAUCAAAUAAUUUGAGGUUUAACCAAAAUUAUAUAAACAAAUAUAUUAAUAUUCAUGAUACAAAAUAAAUAUUAUUAAAUUGAUCAUGAGAUAUAUUUUUGUAAUAGAUCUAGUUUGGACAUAUAAAUAUUAAUAUUAUAUUCACUAGGUCUUCCUGAUUUAGGGGGGUGUUUGGUUGAAAAUGUUAAAAUUUUAUAGUAUUUUCGUCUUAUUUGACAAUUAGUGUCCAAUCAUGGAUUAAUUAGGCUUAAAGAUUUGUCUUAUAAAUUACUCUCUAGCUAUAUUUUAAAUUUUGUAUAAAUAAUAUAUAUUUAGUACUUUAUACAUAUGUCUAAAUAUUUGAUGGGAUAGAAGUUAAAUUUUACCGGUACCAACCAAACAAGACCUUUGAGAAAAACGUACACUCUGGGGAGCAAACUGCAAGAUGCACGCAUGGCGGCAUGGGCCGUGGCUGCGAGGGAGCUGGCGGCGAGACGUACCUUGUGACGCCCGCUUCUUGUCGUGGCUAUUCGUCCCGCGUAGCCUCGCGUUCUGGACGGCCUCCGUCAGCGUCUCCAGCCGCUCCCGCAUCCGGCUCUGGACGUGGCUCCGGGUGCACUGCAAUAUAUGCAUCACAUCAUCAGCGUAACCGCCGGCGCCGUCGUCAGCCACGGUGUUUCUUUGGCCUUGUUUAGUUGCCAAAAAUUUUGUAAAAUUUUUCAGAUUCCCCGUCACAUCGAAUCUUUAGACGUAUGUAUGGAGUAUUAAAUAUAGAUAAAAAUAAAAACUAAUUGUACAGUUUAGUCGGAAUUGACGAGACGAAUCUUUUGAGCCUAGUUACUCCAUGAUUGAACAAUAUUUGUCAAAUACAAACGAAAUUGCUACAAUGCUUAUUUUGCAAAAAAUUUUGAAACUAAACAAGGCCUUUGUGCCUCUCUGUAAUUGAAACGGAAACGGACGACGAGGACGGAUGGGUGGGUGAGCGGUGACCGCUGGGCGCUGGCACUGCCGCCGCCGCCGUCUUUUUUUUAGGCUUUUUUUAAAAAUUCUCAUAAUUACAUCUUUAAUUUUGGAAUCUGGAUUCAGGGCUUGGCGUAAUAGUAACGUUACUUUGGACUAAGUUAACAUUGUUUGGUGGCAUCUACCAUGACGUCAAACUUGGCGCCACUGCCAAUGAUGUCAAGAGUGCACGUAGUUUGUGGGUUUGGCGUCAUUACCACUAGCGCCAAAGCAGUGUAGCUUAGCGUCAGUAGCAAUAAUACCAAACCUUGAGUCUAGAUUUUUAAAAUCAAACUAACAGUGACAUGGUUAUGAAAAUCUUUCGAGAAAAAAGGGCAAAAAAAAACACACAGCGCCUCCACUAGCAGAGGAAGAACCUUGAUGUGGUACUUGACGUAGGACUGGAAGUUGAGCAGGAUCCACGCGGUCUUGGCGGCCCGCUUCCCCCUCACGUGGCGCGACAGGACGCCUGCCCAGGUGGCCCAUGAGACAGGUUGUUAGUCAUGAAGCCCGGCCCACCUACUAGAAGCCCCCGCUGUUAACUGGAGCGACACGGCCGGCCCCGUGGACCCCGUCGCGUGUACGAUUCGACAGGAGCAGCUAGCACGUACCGAAGGAGACGAAGCCGCCGUUGGUGGUGAGGUGGUGCACCUUCUCCCCGCGCAGCUCCGGCGGCGGGAUCGGCGACCAGCUGCACUUGGGCGCCCACGCGAACGAGUUCCCGACGUCCUGUAGCUCCUGCAAUGACAAAAGUUCAUCCGCCGCCCGGCCGCCCGCCAUGCAUGUGCAUACGAGAAGGAGGUGGGGACCUGGAAGAAGGAGGUGGCGAUGGCCAGGUCCGUGUCGUCCCUGAAGCGCAUGGGGAAGAUGGCGUUUAUCGUCUCAUCAGCCUGCAUGCAGAACGUACGCAUUGUUAGCGAUCGAGCUGCAUUGCAUAUAUACGUUGGUGGUCAGUUCAGGCUUGUGCGUUCCCUUGGUUAUAUUUCUCUGACAGACUGAAGAUAUAUACGUAGUAGUUUACUAGUUUCAGUUAGUUUGUUGUGCGCACGAGAAUUGAAUAAACGCACCGUCCUGCUGACGAAGAAGGGCUCCCUCUGGUUGUACACGAGCCUCAUGGUGCCCGGCGACGAGCCGAGGCUCCCCAGCAUCUCCUUCAGCUGCGAGCUCAGCACCACGGAUUGCAGCAGCGACACCUGGUUAAUGGCCUUCACGCGAUCUAUAUAUGUAUGUAUGUAUAUAUAUUCAGAGCGCGAUCAACCGGCUGUCAUCGUUGGGCUCAAAUGUGUUUCAAAUUUCAAUUGCAGCUAGCGUUGAUGGGUUCUUCGUAGGGUACCUUUCGGCCGGGCGAGGCCGGAGAAGUUGAGCUUGAGCGUCAGGGCGUAUCCUUCCCUCGGCGGCUCCACGAUCUCCGCGAACCUGCCAUACGUCUUCCUCGUCUCCUGCAGGGUCAGUUCAGGCAGGCGGCUCGCCGCCGACGACGACGAGGGUGCAGCCGCCUCGUGGGAGAGCGACGGCGUCGAUAUCGACAGGAACACGUUCUCAGGAUCCGACACUGAAGCCUGCAACAUAUAUAUGCAUGGUUUCCGCGGAUGUAUUAUACACAUGAUGAUCAUUCUUCGUCUGUUUGCUCGCCAAGCAGGAGCUGCUGCAGCACACAAGGUGCUUGGAAAUGGUAUUACAUACCUCCACAUGAUAUCGAAUCGAUCCAAACUCGAAGAAGGUGUGGUCAACAGGCAUUGGUCUUUCGGCGCUGCAACAAACACACAAUUGAAUUUCGGUCCAGGGGUUUCAAAAUUUUGCUCGCCCCACAUUCAAAUAUUACAGUGUCAGUUUUUACUACACCACUUGGGAGCGAACAGAGUGCAGAAUCAUCAUGCCCGGAGAGAGCUACUCCGUUUACCAUCGCGCAUACGGAUUACAGACUCCAUGUUUUUAUUUAUAAGCAAACUACAGAAGGGCAACAACCUGCAAACUCACCUCUGCAUCCUCGUCAGGAUUUCGACCAGAACCCGGGAUCCACUGCUGAAGAACGCCAUGGCGUUGGCACAGUUCGACACCCAGGACCAGGACCAGGGAUCAAAUAGAAGGGGAAAGGAGAGAAGAGAGGUACAAGUGUUGCUUUGCUAUCAGGAUCAUGGUCUGGUGGAUGAAAAAAACAAAUUCUCGGGACACCAGGGAGAGGACGCCGGUGGGCGGUGGCUGCCUGACUGGUGAGACGUGAGGGGGACCUCUCCUGGCUGCUGCUGCUGCUGCUGGUGAACUACUUCUGAAGCAACCUCCUGAGCUCAGCCAUCCCGUUUGCUUUGUUUCCAAUGCACUCCACAAUCAUUUCAGGGCUUUUCCGAAUAACUCCACAGGCAAAUAUGGAAAGUCCCGAAUGGUGUUGAGUGUUGGAUCUGGAACAGACAGUGCAGAUGACACCAACCUGGUAAAUUUUUUUUCCACACCAAUUCAAGAUGUUGGAGUAAGCCUAACCAAACAGGUCCAACCUUUUUCUGUUUAUUAGAAAUUAAAAAAAAAAUCAGACCAACUGCACCUGUCAGUAGGUGAAACAUGUGAAUGACAUCACCGACAGUAACGCUGACUGAGGUACACAAGUUUAUUCCAAUUGAAUUGCGCUUUCAUGCUACAACAUUUAAAGAUAUUUUGGAUCAAGACAACAUGUCAAUCACAUCCUAAUCUCCUUUUUGAAAAGAAAAAAAAGCAGAACAGAUAUCACAUUCCUAUGUUUGAGUUUGAACCUAGGCAGUACAGCAUCACACGCUCAAAUUGCAGGAUGCAAUAGAAUCCAGAAGCCAUGUAUGAGGAAUGGCUUUGCAGCCAACCGUGGCUGCCAGUUCUUGAGCCUCAGCUAUUCUCUUAUUGAUGGUCUCAAGGGUGUUGGGACUGUUUCCUUGUGGUGGCUCCAUGCUGUAAAGAAUCAAGGAUGCACAAGAGAGCUGAGUCUUCUCCAAAAUGGAACCCCCUCCUGCGGCAAUCAAAUCUUCAAGGUUGGCCUUGUAUCCCGGCAUGAAAUGGCCACUGAAAUAGAAGGUCAACCCAGCAAACAGGUUUGGUGCCUACAGAAGCAAAAAUGUGUGCAGUCAGUAUACCAAAAAGAUUGUUACAUUGAAGUAAUGAUUUGCCUUAUUCAUUCCCAGAAUUCAUUUGCAAACCUGCUGCAUUGCUCGAAGCCUUCCUGAGCGAGGCCCAUUAACAGAGCCAUGAACAUCACAGCUUAUCUCAUAGGGCUCUUCUGGGAUUGGUUUCCUAGCCUCAAUACAGUCUUUCAGCCCUAAAUAUCAAAUGUGAAUUUGCAUUAGAAUAACUUCCUUGCAGAACAGGGCAGUCUAAGCAAAAGCAACCUAGCAGAUGCAAGCAAUAUACUAGAUACAGCACUUGAUUGAACUAUCCUCCCUAAGUUGUGAUGGCUACAAAAUCACAAUUGACAAAGACAUACCACAACAUACAUAAUUUGGUUAGCCCUGACUGUUUUUUAUUGAUCUUCAGAGAAAAUGGACUUACAGUUCACAUUGAGAACCCACUUCCCAGCUAAAAUUGCCAUGAGAACCUUGAGUGUCCUAGCACAUGCCCCACGUUCAUCCGUAUUAGCAAUCACAUGAGUCACAUCCGAACUCCAAGUGUUAGUUACAGUGAUGCCAGUGUGACACUCAAAUUGAUCCAAGAUUUCCUGUGAAGUUUAUGAAUAUUUCAGGGCACAUUACAUAUUUGAAUAAGCUAUAAAGUACUUUUUAGUUAUGAAGAUCAUAUCAAAAAAGCAAUUACCUUCUCAUGGCCAAUGAGGGCAGAUCCACAUAUCACCCAUCCACUAGUCAGAAAAGGUGAGGCAGUCCAAAGUUCAUCCCUUUGCAUUGGAGAGGGUGAAUUCAGACCAUCAGUGUCAGAAGAUGGUCUGCAAAAUUCAAUGAGGGGUCAUAAGAAGACACAAUCAGGUGUAGCAAAAUGCAGUUAUGUAUAACAGGCACAAUGGCAUACUGCUGUAACUUGGCCUUCUUUUUUGACUUUGAUCUUUCACAAGGCAACUUUUUUGAAGAAUGUGUAGAACACAGCAUAACGAAGUUCUCCUGGAGCAAAUCACAUUUGUUCAAUGAGAUAACCAACAAAUAUUUUCCCACAAAAAAGGGCACACAAUUUCACUUACAAUGGACAACCCAGAUUUAAGGAACAAGACUUACUUGAUCCCAUUUGCAGCCUUUGAUGUUGUAGGCACAUGGGACAUGAAAACUAUUGCGGCAGCUCUUCACAAGGCAGCCAAGUGCUGCACCUUUCAAGCCACAAACACUGCAUUUGAUCUUAGAAGCACGGGCCAACUCAGGCUCCAAGUUAUUUGCAAUGUCACCAGUAAAGAAUGCUUGAGGAGCCCUGUAUAAUAGGAGUACGUGUACCAAUCAGUGAAAUGAAGUAUAUGUUCAUUCAGAAACAGUAUCAUGAAAGUUGCCAGUAGCAUACCAUUCAACACAUUUCUCAUGGACAUGAUGAACACUUGAUUUCCAAGCUUGAUCAGCUUCUAUUGGCUCCCCAUUCAGAUAAUGUGACAAAGGUCCAGUACACUAUAAAUUACAAUUUACAUUAGAUUCUUUGAGUAUACAAGAAACAAGCGGCAGGUCAUAUCCUAGAUAAUAGUAAACAAGUUUUGCAAGACCAACCUCAGUGACUUGGGAAGAAUGACAGAACUCACAUUUCCAAGCACUGGCCAUGGUUGUUUGUCCUGUAUUUGUGUUCAAGAUCACAUUAGCAUCUUGCAUUUCCAAAUGUUCUGAAAGGAGUUCAGGCAGGAAAGGACUUACUUUGAACCUGGUCAUUUGAUUUUUGCCUCUUCAAUUCUCUGGUAUGGUCAUCCAUUACAUUUGUCUCUCUUUUCAAUGCAGUUUGAAGAAGUGAUCUGCUUGUUAUCUGACAGAAUAGCACACAUUUAAGAGUGGCUCUACAGUCCUACAGAAGUAUUUUUUUUCUAAACAACUGUUGAAAAAAAAAUAAAGGGCGGAAAGGGGGAUAUAGAAUUUUACCAGUUCUCCUUCAAGGUCAUUGCUGUCACAAUCCAAAUCCCCAGGGCCGUCAGAAGAUUGUGACCCAGAAUGACCCUUUUGUACUAUAGCCGUUGGUGCAACAGCUGCAGCACCAGCAUUGUUCUCUACUGCAGGAUCUUUUGCUUGAACACCCUCCAUGUUCCCAAAUGCAGGUCCAGUUGACUGAUCAUAUACUAGCUUUGAAGCAACAGGGUUGUAAGAUUUCAUCUGGUCAUAUUUCUCCAUCACCCCACUUCUGUUUCCUGACUCUGGUGUUCCAUGAGAUGCUGUCUUUGCAACUGAACAAAAAGAAUUAUUUUUGCCACUCAAUCAAGACUUUGACAGACUACUACUUAUUGACAGUGCUUGGAGUUUAUAUUAUGCAAGAAAUGGAUGUACCAGGAAUGUUAACUUGAGCAUCCUGCUGUUCAAUCAUGGUGCAUACGGUAGAGCUGAGGCUCCUGUGAAUGCUCACUAUCGACUCGAGAUGAGAAGCUGGCCUUAAAUCUGCCAACAAGGCUGGGCUCAGAUAACGAAUCAAGGCAUCAAUCAGAAUUCUGAAACAAUUCAGUAAGCCGUGAUGUACCUUGAGAACAAUAGCCAGAUUUGCAAAUGGCGCAGCUGUAACCUUUUGAAGUCGGUGUAAGGGCACACUUGCUGAAAGAAAGGAACAAACGUGUUACUUCCACAGGGCAAGAUCAGUGGAGGGUGACGAGCGUUCGUCGGUUGAGGUGCCUGAAGAAACUACCUGCAGGAUGUGUGGUAGCACGGCAGCGUUGUCGGCGAGGUGAGCAACUUCAGGCUGACAAACAAAGUUUUCGCCGUCAGAUGACAGAGCAGUUCAGUAUACGAAUCGAUUCGUUCUCAUGCUGCUCUCUCACAGUUUGCCUGGAUCUAGCUCUAGCUAAGUUCGCCCCCGCUGCUCCGGCCAUGCUAAGCUUAGCCGUGCUACUAUAAAAGGAUCGAUGCUCGCCAGUUUGCCUGGAUCUAAGCUAAGUUCGUCCCCGCUGUUGCGACCAUGCUAAGCUUAGGCGCGCUGAGAUCUUGGACCAUAAAAAAAAUGUCAUUUUAAUAUCUUGAUAGAGUUCUACCGAAAGGCAAAAGCAAAGGACACAAGGAGAUUGACCCACCAGACGGGGCAGGUGAGCUCCAGCUCCAUCUUCUGCAGGUUGAGCACCAGCGGAUUCAGGAGCCUCCUCAGGUUCUCCAUCUUCUCCACCCACGACACGAACGCCCCUUCCUACUGCUCCCGCCUCCCCCUCCUCUCCCUCCGAUAUCCCUUGGAAAGGGCUACGGCCGUGAGGGGACAGAGUCACAGAGAGCCGGAGCGCGAGACAGAUGCGGUGCUGACUGCCGAGGGACUUGGAACUUGGAAGCUUGAGCUGGGCGCCGGCUCUCUAGCGCCAGUCAAAUACGCGGGGAGAGGGCGGCCAAUCGGGAAUUCGGAACGAGAGGGAAGUGAAGCGGUGGCGGGCAGGCAGCCGGCUGAACGAAAAUGUUUGGGCGCGAGCGCGUGGGCGGUCUGUGAAACCGGACGCUAUCCCAUCCGCGGGAGGCGGGAGAUUUUCGAGCGGCGGGGACGAGUUUUCUUGCCCCUUUUUUUUGGCCGGGCGGGCUGUUUUGUUUCGAGCGCCCCGCGCGCGGGCGGCGGCGGCACAUCGCGCCCCGCGCUCUCCUGGCGGCUCGGUAAGAAAGACCUAGGACGAGGAGGGGUGCGGGCUGGGCUGCGGACGGGGGGAGAGAGAAGUGAUCAGCUGUUGCGGGCCUCGUGGGCCGGCCUGUUGAAACUUCAAACUCAGGGCUCGACUGUUUUCCUUUCGGAUUAGGGGGCUCGACUGUUUUUUUUUUUGGAUUAUGGACCUAAUUGGUUUGCGACCAAAGAUUUGGCAGCUAAAAGUUGAGAAAAAAAAAGUUAACAAAUAUUUGAUUGAUAAGUCAAAUGUGAGAAGUUGGCAAGUUUUGGUAUCCAACUAAAUACUAGCCAAAACCACGGCUUGCUAAAUCCUUGGCUUGGUGAAAUUUUUUUUUGAUGCAAAUUCGCUAAGACUUUAUUCAAGCACACUUGGUUCAGCGCAGUCGCGAACGACAAUUUUAGGAAGUAAACCAAUCAGGCCCUAUAUAUAAUAAAAAUAUUCUGGAUUCACAGUUGGUCCACCACGAGAAAUUUAACAAAAAUUCCAAAAACAUCUUACAAUUUGAUAAUUAUUUUCUACACGCAAGAUAUAGGAUAGCCAUCACACCACAGUCUCAAACACACUCUAAACCUUUCCUUCAUGAAUGCAAAAUCACUUUGUAGAAAGUCAAAAAAAAAGAUGCACAACUAUUCAGCAGUUGAGUUUGCAAACGCUAGAACACCUUUCCUAUCCAUCAGAUCAACAAAGGACUGCACGGAUCUCAGAUAUAUCCAUUAUGAUGUAGCCACGACCCCCUCUCGUCUUCUUUUUGACUUUACUCACACUACCACCACGUCACUUCCCAAAGCGGUCCUCCUCAUGUCGGCGGCUAUACCAUCAAACUUCCUCAACCAUCGUCUCCUUAUUGAUCACCUCCAAGAUCUAUUUCUAUAGCAUAUUCCUCAAUCCUCACUCCCCUCACUCUGUGUCGUCGUCGUUGUCCUCUCUAGUGGUGUCUUACCACCAGAUAUGUCACUCCCUUCUACUACUAUGCUAACCUCUAGAUUCAUGAUGUCUAUGACUCUACCAUGCCCAACUAGCUUCUCGAUUUGACAAAGGCAUCGCAUCAAGUAGGAAAAAACUUCAAGUCCAUGAAAAAACUCAAAAAUUUUGCAUAUCUAAAAACAAUGUUCAAAUUUAGGUAAACCUAUGAUUAGGGUUUGUACCUGUUGGCGCUAGCAUGGACUCCUGUGAAGUAUGGGUAGUGCCCAACCUUGAUUCUUGUGCUCAACGAGGAGCGUUGUCGAGUGGUGCUCCUCUGCGAUAGCUAAUGAUGCAUAGGUGAAAAGCGAAAGGAAAGAGGUACCUUAGCGGUGGGGUGAGGGGGCAAGCAAAGUGUGUGGAGCGAGAUAAAUAGGGGAGACUAGGAGGGGGUAAGCGACAAUCUAAAGAGGUUGGAUUCCAUGUAUUAAAUAAAGAAAAAGAUAAUACAUAGCUUGUCCGGCGUGCAUGCUAAAACAAGAAAUUUUAAAUAAUAUUAAAAAAAGGUGAAAACCAGAUAUUGUACCCGUGGGCGCCGACAUGGCCUUGGCAUCCUGGUUUCUUGUUUUAUGGUGAACCACGAGGAUUGGGAGGGGCUUAAAAAUAAUGGAAACCAAUUACCCCCCAUAUGGCUUGCUUAGUUAAUCCCCAAACUGAAGUGAUUUAAGGUAGGUUUGACUUGUAGAAGAUAAAAUCUCUCACAAUUCUCUCAAUCAUUUGGACAGAGAUUAAUUGAACAAAAUUUCAAGCAACUAGUUCCACACCAUUCAAUAAGAACAUUUAAGGUUGGAUGUUUCAUUAGAUGGCAUCACUACCCUCCUCCCAUGUCCACCGCCCUAGGCUCUUCAUGUUCCGCCCAUCCCUCUAUGGAGCAACCUCACUGAUACUAAGGAUGGACAGGUACACUUCAUCGUUUGGUCUAGUCACAAGAUUGGAAAAAAAAAAUUGUGUCCCAUGGGCUACCAGAUGACGGCAUUUCAUUUUUUUCUCAUCGAAUUUUGUUUCUUGUAGAGAAUUCUAGUGUGAAUGACUAUCAAGUAUUUAGCCUGAUGUUCUUCACGUCUAUCUUGUUUUUCACAUGGUUGAUGCAUAUCGAGUAUGUUUCUGUUCCUUCUCGUUUGCAUCUCUGUGUUACUGCUUUGUUGAAUUCAUCACUAGGACAAAAAGUUAUCCAAACAUAUAGUUUUAGCAUAUGAGAGGUGGUAAUGUUAGAUUAAAACUUAAUGUGUUGGAUGCACCUUGAGAAGUUCUCGAGGUGUUAGACCAUGCGUUGUGUUCAAGGUCUAGGGCCUAUCGUUGCAUGAGCGAUUCGAGGGUGAUGUUCCGACAAUGGUUAUUGGCGUCGCUAAGUUCCGACAUAUUGGAACUAAUCGAAUAUGGAUUUCAUAUAUUAUAAUCUAGGAAUGCCAUUAUGGUGCUCUAGAUUUACUAUAGCGAAUCUUUCUUAGUUGUAAAUGGAGAUGCAAGGCAAUUAACUUUUGUUUUAAUAGAGUUCCUUUUAAUUCGAAAAAAGAAGAGGAUGGGGGAUAGGGUCACGCUGCGUCAGCGCAAGAGUGCACAAAAUUAGUAAGGCCUUGUUUAGUUCACCCCAAAAUUUAAAAACAUUUUUAAAUAUUCCCCAUCACAUCGAAUCUUGUGGCACAUGCAUAGAGUAUUAAUAGAUAAAAAAAUUAACUGUACAAUUUGUUUGUAAUUUAUGAGACAGAUUUUUUGAGCUUAGUUAGUCUAUAAUUGGACAAUAAUUAUUAAAUAUAUACAAAAGUGCUACAGUUGCCAGAUCUAUUUUUUUCACCAACUAAACAAAGCCAAACUCUAAUAUGAGCAGGGUAGGUCAAGAGGAGUCUCUGCAUUUACACACUUCGAAGGGUGGCCGGUGUAUUUUUGGAAUGCGUUGCUAACCAAGUAGCCAGUCUGUUGGUAUGAGCUGGGAGCUGCUGGGAACGAAAGGAUACAAUACAAUAGCCUAUAUAGUUUAAUGCCUAACCAAAAUGACAUGUACAAUAGCCCUGUAGCAAAAUAAAUCACGAUUUUUUUAAUACAAGAGAAAUUAACGAGGGUGCUGCGAACGCUCUUAGACGACAAAGUCAAUCUAACGAAUCGUACUCCAAAAUGUGGAUAUCAAAAACUGUAUCCUGAGGCAAAAAAUACACUAAUCAGACUUUGUCGAUAUACCACACAGUAUAUUGUCCUUCCACGAGCCAUUGACCAAACACUAAUGCGACGAUGAAUGAAGAGAUCGAGUGGAUCAGCACAGGCCCCACCCAUUAUGAGUUUAUGACAGCCUGAAAUGGACCAGGCGGGUACAGGAAUCAAAUCGCUCGGAGGCAUCAUUAUAUUUUAUAUAUUUAUAUUUAUAUGUAUACCAGCAAUCAAACCAACCAUGGCAACAAACAACGUCCAACUAAGCUUCCUCUUGGGAAGAAGUUGGGAACUGACCUACCCAUCUUAUUGCCCCACAAUAAAUAAACAACCAAGAAUUUAAAUUGGAAAGAUUGCUGGAGAACCAAGGAUGACUCUCAGGGUCGUUGAUGAAAGAUCAAGCUACUUUCUAUAUACCCACACAUCAGCAACGCUCUCACUCUACGAAUCUCUCUUUGAAAGAAGAAAAAAAAAUCUCGAAUGCGUGCAUUCUCUGCAACCUAGACGAGCGAUUUUUUCUUAUUGGGACGGGGGUAGUAUGUUCUACCAAAUGAAGAAGUCUGGCUGACCAUAUCGAAAAAGGUUAACCAAGAACACCAUCAGCCAUGAACAUUACCUCUGCAUGCCUUGUGGCAAUGGAGAGACCUGGCAAGCUAUUCUUCGCCCUCUCCCCCUCCCCUGCACGCAAAAGGCAUGCAUCUAAUAAACAAUAGUGUUUCACCUUUCAUCAAGCUGGUAAGCAACCGAGCACCAGAAGGGCCGAAGGGGUAACCCACGACCAGCCCCAGACCCCCACACCACCCACUCCGCUACACCACGCCAAAGCGUUUGCCACCCCCUACCGACCGACGCGACAACACGCGUGCCACACAUUCGUCGGUCCUCGCACUGCCACAUAUACAUAUAUAUAUAUAUAUAUAUAUAUAUAUAGGAAUACCAAUAUACCAGUAUACUACCGCAGCAAAUUCGCCGUGCCGAUUAUACAUGAGACGCGAGAUGCAUGAUCGACCAACUUUCGGCUGUGCCGAUGCCGGCCCAUGGUUUCAAUUUCAUGGCUCCAGGAUCAGCUGCGUCUUCGUGCCGUCCGUCGUGGUGGAGCGGAGAGAGCGACCCCGGCCGGCCGGGCAGUGACGAACAACGUGCGACGGCCUUGCUGUUGCGUUGCACUUGCACUGCGGCCGCACUGGAUCACACGACAUGAGCUUCGUCCAGCGGCGGCAGCAUUUCUGGAGUACAUAUCCGAGAUUCCGAGACGCGCGCGCGCGCGCACACACACACACAAUUGCAUGCAAGAAACAGACAUGGACGGAUACAAGGACGACGACGAUACACAUACACGCACACGGCAGGCAGCAGAGCAGUAUAACAAGUACUAUGUAAUGUAAUGUCACAACAACUACGAUGCGCCAAAGAAAAACAAAGCUAGUACACCACGAUCUCGCUAGAUCUAGAUUCUAGACAACCUGAAUGGAAGGGAGAGUAGGAGAGCACCACCGAGUGAUCGAGUCGAGGCGGAAAUUGGCGAAGCCACUUGGCCGAUGGGCGAUGUCCCGUUUUUUUCCCAGCAGGAAGGCACAGGCAGGCAGGCAGGCAGGAGAAUCGGGUCCGGUUCUGUUCUGUUCCGCAGGACGGAUUGGAACGGAACAGCAGCCAGCCGCCCUGUCGCGCCGCGCACGCAGGUCGGCCCGUCGGUCGUCGAUCGGCGGCGCGCCACCUGCCACGCCCCCGCCGACGUGGCCGUCAGUCCUUUAUCUGCAGCCAGCGGCCGAGCUGCGUCGGGUUAACGACGCCGGGGACGUGGGCCCCGCUCGCCAUUAGCAGCCACGACACCUCCGCGUACCUCCUUUUCGGGUCCGGCUCGGCCCGCGCCGGAGCCGUGCCAGGGGCCCCGCGGCUCGGCUCGAUCCGCCGCCCCAGGAGCGUGCCGUGGGCGAGGAACUCGUGGGCCAGGUGGCCGGCCAGGAGCUUGUUGCCGCUGCCGCCGCCGGCGGCGGCCGGUGCUGCCGCGCGAGCCGGUACCGGAGCCGGCUUCCACGGCUCGGCUUUAGCCGGCACCGGGAGCGGCUGGGCCUGCUGCGCCUGGGCGGCCUGCAGCUCGCGCUCACGCUCCUUGCGCUUGCCAAGAGCGACACGCGCCGCCUCAAGCUUCUCGCUGAGCGACAUAUCGACGGCUAUGCUUCGCCUCUAGCCACGUCAGCGCGGAGCUGAGCCGUCCAAAGGAAAGACGGAGGAGACGCACAAAGUUUUUUUUUUUUUUUUUUUUUUUGCUCCUGUGGUAUGCUGCUGGUCUGCGGAGCAGGGGAAGGGGGAAAGAAAAAGAGACAGGGUACAAAGUAAGAACAGAGAUGGUGGGACCCACUAGGGGCAGGACCGUAAUUUCACAGGGCAAAAGCAGAAGAGCAGGGGAGGAGGGAACGGCGGAAGAGAACGAGAGGGAGGGGAGGAUGGAAGAAGAAGCAGGAAAAAAAAAUCUGGUUCGGAGGGAUAGGGAAGGAGGGUAUGAGGUGGGGGGAGGCCUACUAUUUAUAUCAUGUGGUGGUCAGGAGAACCCAUGGAUUACGCCCUAAUCACGAGACUGCCACCGCGUUCUAAGCGGGAAGGAUGCCUACGGAAGGGUAGGCUCGUAGUUUUUCGGGAACACCGCAGGAUAGUAUGGGUAUUUGGUCAGGCGGGAAGGUUAGCGCGCUCGGGAAACUCCGUCGGGAGUGUAUGCGCGGGCCACGACGCUGGGCCCCGUCCGGGGGCCACCCGUCAGUGGUACGCAGGUAGUUUUGGUUGGUGUACAUGUUUUUUUAGAGGACAGUUCCUACAAUAUCCAUUUCCUUCCGCCUCUUGCAGAUCUCCGUCGUGGCGCCUGGAACCGUUCACCCAUGGAGAUGGCCUUGGCCGGCCUCGGCGCCGCCGGUCGCUACCUUCUCUCACGCCCGUGGGGCACCCGUGGUGCGGGGAGGAGGAAUCCGGGAAGGUUGGCAGAGCUGACUGCGAGGUGGGCCCGUGGGAGGGCAGCCGGGCCAGGAUUUUGAGGGCCGACUCCUGCAGUCCCGGCGGUGAGAGGACCGGGAAUAGAUGGAUUUGUAGAGGAGUCUUAGCAGGUCGGGUCACGCGUUCGCGGGUAGGACGAAGGAGGCUAGUCCGGCGACGGCAUCGGGGAGCUUGUUUUAGAUGGACCUAUAGAGCGCAGGCGCGCAGGCGGCCGAGAGGAGCACAGCGCGGAGCGUGUACUGCGUGGCGGGCGAUAGCGCGGGGUAGAUGACGGACCGGAACGACGGGGCGAUGACGAUGAGGCGGCGCAGCAGCACGGCGGCGAUGGGCGCGGAGGGGUGUGCCCGGGGAGAGCAGCAGUAGCCGAGGCUCAGCGCUAGCGCGUCCGGGUAGGAUGGGAGUAUGGGACCGGGUGGGUGGCGGGAGGCUGAGUUGGGACUGCUGCUCCGUCCGCGACCUCGCCUCGUCCUGCGCCCGCGGAUCCAUGGGGCACGGAACGACGCGGGGCUGAGGUCCUCCAGCAGCGCCGCCGGGUCAGCGCCCAGCACCACCGCCAUGUCCUGCGCCCGCGGAUCCAUGGGGCACGGAACGACGCGGGGCGAGGGGAACGACGAGGCGGGGGAGUGGGACGAGCCGCAGGGCUGUGCAGCGCCCGCCGCCUAGAUGUUCUGCACCAUGAAUAUUCCGUCCCAUUCCUCUUCUCCUUGGCGCCGGUCCUGUGUUCGCUCAGCAGUGGGGGAGGGGCCACAGAUCGGGAGUCGCCUUUGGUGUCUGGUCACUCACCGCUGCCCGGCGUCUCCGCCCGGGUCGCCUGCGCUCAGAGGGCGCCAAAUCGAUACAGCGACGCCACCCUCACUCGUUCCCCACCAGCAACUGGCUGUCCUGGGCAGCGACGGCAUCCCGGCACGGCCGCAUCUACACCCACUCCUGGCUCGUCUGUGCAGACCGAGCCGCGAGCCACCCUGCCAAGGCAAGUACCCUAUCAAUCCUUGAUGUGUUCAUGCCUUACCAUGUGUUUUUUACCUAGUAUGCAUCGCAAUCAGUUUAAUCGCGUUACCUAGGUGCUCCUGAUCCACUGUGUAGCAGGUUGCUUGACUGAUUACCUUGUUAGUUCUUAAUUUUAUUGAGUAUUUGCCUUGAUUCCUAGGGUUCUUAAUUUCAGAGGACAAUUCAUUAGUACGCACUGCAGGUAGUCAUCUCUUCUCACCCCCAUCUUGACCUUUGCAGAUCCAAUUUGCUUCCGUUAUCUAUUUGUAUAAUCUGGUAGUGAGGCCAUGAUAAUUUUCUAAAUACUCCAAUUACUGUUUACAUUUUGGUUGAUACCAAGAUGAAAACACAUAGUAGUGCUCAACUGAUGCUACUUUGUGGUUAAUGGCUUAAGAUAUAUUUCUGAUGUUAGUGUUGAGUAUAGGCAAAAAAGAUGCCAAUAAUCCACUAUGGCUGGUUCCUAUUGGGGACAAAUAACCUGGGAAAUGAGUUAUUAUAAUUCUUCUUGGUCCUGAAUCUUGUUACUUUUGCAGCUUUCAAGCUCUGUGGACUGAGAACAUUAAGUGGCACAAAACGACAUGGCUGGCAUUGUUUGAUUUGUAAAACCUUCAUGUAAAAACAUUACUAUUUAAAAUGUUUAAUUCCUUCAUAAUUAGUGAUACACUACACCAGUCAUACUAAAACAAUAAAGCCUACUGCAAUGUCAUACAAAGCAUGGAGUUAGAAAAUUUUCUAGUGUAGUUCAAACUCGACAUGGUAAUUAGAACUAUAAAAGUAGUGUAUCUUUAACAUGGAAAUCAAUAUGAAGUACAGUUCUAACACAUUUUUAGCUUUGGCAUCUUUUUUUAAUGGAAGGGCAUUAUCUUCUCUCUCUCUCUCUCUGUAUUUGCAUUCUGAAUGGCUGUUUCACUCUGUUUGUUUUUUAUGUGACUUAUUAGGCAUAUGACUCCACUGUUGCAGCAAUGUUAAUGAACUACUAUUGUCAAUGUAAUUGGACCUUUCAGUCACAAAAAGGCCUAGAAUCUAAGCUGCAAUUCCUUCUCCUAAACUGCUAGUUGAGUAGAAGAAUAGAAUUGGUAAAGGGUAAUAGAAAGCAUAUGCAAAGAGAUGGAUGCUCUUGAUGUCAUACAAAGCUGUUCAGUCUGAAUAACUCUGUGUGCUGCAUUUGCAGGCAGUUGUCGACUGUCGUAUUUAUUAGGUAUCCAUUUAAACUAAAAACUAGUAUAUUUGUCAUAUUAAGAAGAGGCAUAUGGCACUGUUUAGCGAUCUGUAAAAUUAGUAGCCAUUUUUAAACAAGCACACUUCAGUAGCACUAAUUUGUGGAACACAUGUUUCAGGUAAAACAUGUUUCUACUUGAUUUGCUAUAUUUACUUGCACUGGGAUUGUGUUCAGUUGAAGUACCAAUCUUCCAUUAACAGCUGUGACUAAAAUUGUUAUACUGCUGCCUCAAAUCCUUAAGUGUUAUACAAUUCAUAUUGUUAGCUUCUCGUUUAUGAGUAGGUAUAUCCUACACUAAGUUGGGUAUAUUAGGGCACUCCCAAUGCAGAAGACAUUAAUUGCAGUGCCACCUAAGCAUUUGCGAUGUGACAAUGUAGUUAUUGAAGAGAGAGUAAAAAUCAUAAAAACUGUGGGUCUAAGUUAGAAACCAUGUCUAAUCCAAGACAUGAAGUGAUAUGAUUGGCUAAGAAUGGAGAGAAAAUGAAUAUGAUUGGAUAUAAAAAUAUUCUAUAGAAACUAUCAUAGUUUCUAUACAUAGUGUCUAUAAAAAUUAAUGGGUAUAGAAACUAUUUGUAGUUUCUAGCAUUGGGAGUGCCCUUAUGGGACGCUGGACAUUUCUGGGAUGCUGGGAAUGAAAGUUGUAACAUUUGGACCUACUAAAGAAAUUUGUCUUAGGGCAUGAUAAGCUACUUAAUCAGGUUGAGUUCUACACAUGGUCUCCCCUGUAGUUAUCAUUAUUCUUUCUGCAUAGAAAUGUGUUCUCUAUUCCCUCGCCUUGCCUACUGCGGUCAUCCAAUUCGCAGGGGUCCUCCUCCUUUUUUUUCCCCUCGCCUUAGGCCUUGUUUAGUUCGCAAAAUUUUUGUUUUUGGCUACUGUAGCAUUUCGUUUUUAUUUGACAAACAUUAUCCAAUCACGGAGUAACUAGGCUCAAAAGAUUCAUCUACCAAAGAUUCGAUGUGACAGGGAAUCUUGAAAAUUUUUACGAACUAAACAAGGCCUUAUGGAUAUUGUACAGCAGAAAUUGUUUUUCGCAGUGCUUUUCGCAGUUUGAUUCCAUAGGGCACGGUAAGGGCAAAUGGGCCACAAUCCACGAGGACAGUCCGACAGAGAGUAUGCUGACGUAUUGUGGAGAGGCAACCACGGCAAAGGGUGAUGGGGGCCAACAAGAAAGGGCUGCAGAUGGUGCAGAGAGAGGGAUCACCAUAAGAUCUGUGUUUUUUGCUACUUUGAUCAUUUGUGUGAAAACUCUGUUAUUAGUACUGGAAUCACAUUUGUUACGUCAACAAAUAUUGCGGCCAGUUUUUUGAAAUCCUGUGGAACAAAAUCAGCUAUAGUCUGUACACUCUGCUGGCUGUAGCGGCUGUUGUCUGGUUGGCUACUGCAAAGCAUAAAUGAUAAAGUGCUACAGUAGCCAAAACCAAAAUUUUUCCAAAACUGAACAAGGCCCAAUUCGGCUCUGUUCUGUCUCGCUCGCUGGUUAGAUUGUGGCUGUAUUGUACCCUGUUGCGUUUAUACUUAAUGCACGCACUUGCAUGCUUCGAU
RNAcentral lists this long non-coding RNA (81147 nucleotides) under Sorghum bicolor (sorghum). Its description in RNAcentral is "long non-coding RNA (SBIC_LNC011315)". Lineage: Eukaryota; Viridiplantae; Streptophyta; Magnoliopsida; Poales; Poaceae. The record is from RNAcentral.